RNAcentral lists this long non-coding RNA (87605 nucleotides) under Prunus persica (peach). RNAcentral describes it as "long non-coding RNA (PPER_LNC001379)". The record is from RNAcentral. Lineage: Eukaryota; Viridiplantae; Streptophyta; Magnoliopsida; Rosales; Rosaceae.
UCCCUAGACCUAGAAAGUAAAAUAGGCUAGGGAGAAAGAUUUGUAAUAUAAUAGAGGGUGAUUUUGCACAGAAUAAUAAUUAUGCCUGCUGCAGCUCUUCUGUUUAAAAGAAGAAAUCAGGAACCGACAGAAUCCAAUAUCCAACAGAGCAACGUCGAGAUUGGGUGAAACAAGAUCGAGAUAUGAGACCAAUACCGAAUUCUAUUCUAUUCUAUUAAUAUAAUAUACACGUGUUGUCUUUCGUCUUUAAUUAAUUAGCCCGGCCGGCGAUUGACGAGACUCAUCAUGCAUAUUGUAUUGUAUUUGUAUUGUUUUGCCCAAAAUAUGAGACGCAUGCAGAAAGUAAAGUAAACACACACACACACACACACACACUCUCUCUCUCUCUGCAAAUCUAUCUGCAUCCACACACAAUAAUUAAAUAAUUUUGAUUCAUAGAGAGAGGCCAGCAGGUCAAUACUAAGAUACUAAAACUAUUUAUUUACUAGCUAAAAGUUGUAGAGCCAGUUUGGCACUGCCAGGUGCAGCAAAUCAUGUCAUCAGUCAUUCAAGAUAUUUAUGAUCCCAUCCCAUCCCCAGCUUUUUAUAUCAUGCAUUUUUCUUUCUUUCUUUCUUUUCUCUGUCUACAAUCAAUACAAAUACAAAUACAAAUCUUCUUCUCAAACCACAUCCACAUGCAUACAUCACAUCACAUAUCACAUCAUGCAUGACAUACAUACAUACAUGACACAGUUGUCGAGGUGCAUUUACGUUUUACCUGCACACGCCAAAUAUACCGGCGUCCUCGAAGCCGCCUCCUCACUUCACUUUUUGUCUUUCUCCAUAUCCAUCCAGUUUCUCUUAUUCAUGAUCAUGACUUUGCUAGGCCGACCCUUGCUUCAUAGCCACCUCUCUCCUCCCUCAUCCUCCUAUAUUAAUUUACCUUAUAGUAAUAAUAAUUAUACGACUUAAAUUGAUUGAGACUUCAAAGUUACCGUUUUCACUUUUUUGUAUUUACUUGCUUUCGUUGCCAUAUAAUAUAAACUCAAAAAUGCAAAAGAAAGAGAAUAAGUUAAUUUUGCUACUGUUACGCUGCUGCUACUGCUACUACUGCAAGAAUUUCAGAAUUUAAUAACAUUAUAUAAUAAUAUUUUAUUUAUAAUAAUGGUAAAGAAAUGGUUGGUGUUUGUCCUCUCUCUCUCUCUCUCUCUCUCUCUCUCUCUCUCUCUCUCUCUGUCUCUGUGUCUCUCUGGCCUUGCUUUUGCCGUAUGCAUCAUUCCAUUUGCGCAGGAAUUUCCAUCAUUCCUUUCUUCCUUCUCUGCUCUUUUCCAUCAUUAUCGUACUGUGCCCUCCUCCCUGCCAAUACCAUACAGUAUUCUGCCCACACAGAACCAUACACAAAAUUUAAAAUUUAUUUUAAGGACCCUACUUCUCUCUCUCUCUCUCUCUCUCUGUGUGGGACAUGUUUACAACCCCACCUCUGCUAGACUGCUAUUACAUUUGCUAGCUAGCUAAUGCCCUAAUAACACCUUUUUUGUAUUCUCUCUCUCUCUCUCUCUCAUGCGGUCAAUUUGAUCAAUUCAAGACUCAUCAUCUUUCGUGUCAAUAAACCAAAACACUGUCUUCAUGCAGCAUGCGCUCAAUUUGGAGCAUCUACACAUAUACAUACAUACAUACAUUACAUCAGCAGUGUACGUACGUGUACGUAUGGGAUAAUGAAAUGAACAAAGUACGUAUACAUAUAGUAGGAGGGAGGGGAGUUUGUUUGAUAUUUUCCAUUCUCUUAUCCCAGGGCAGGCCUAGACUAAGGGGAUCUCUUACUUCUCCAUUUAUUAAAAUAUACGAGAAAACAAGUGUUGUUUGUCUUUAUAUUGUUUAGUUAGAUCCAUCAUGACAUAUAAUUAUAAUCAGAUGAUGAUAUUUCUCCUUCUAAUUAAUUAGAUCCCCUAAGGCUAACUUUAUAAGCUAUUUAUUUGAUUACUGAAAUAUCAAUCUUAUCCUUUGGUUGACCAGAAAGAAACCAUAUCCUAGAACCCAGGCCUAAAGCCACCCUAGAUUGAGAAAACUCGAGUACGGCGGUGGCCAGCUGCCCGACCUCUUGUCAAUCCCAUUGGCACCCCUACACCCUACCACAUGGGAUUUGAGCUCCAAAAGUUGUUCAUUUCCCCAGUUAUCUAAAGAAGAUUGAAUAAAUAAAGGGUUAAUCGUUUUAUUAGCACAUGAAUUUAAAUUCGAUUUCCAUUUGAGUCUCUCAAUUUUCAAAAUCAUUUUCGUGGUCCUUUAAUUUUACUUUCGUUAGGAUAAAUGAUUAUACUGUCAAUUUUGUUAACUUUUUCUGUUAAAUGUAGGAGUAAAAUUGUAUUUUUAUAUUAAAACAAAAAAUAAUAUCUUUAAAAUAACAAUAAAAUCAAAUAAAAUAAAAAACCAACAACAACCAAAAAAAAGUUUUGGGGAACAGGAUAGAGGGUGAGGGAGAGAGUUUAAUUUUAAUUUUUCAUUCAUAUUUUAAUCAAAUUUGAUACAAAAAUACCAUUUUGCCGUUGCAUUUAACAGAAAAGUUAACAAAAUUGACGGAAGAACCAUUUGUCAUAAAGAAACUAAAGUUGAAGGACUACGGUAAUGAUUUUGAAAAUUGAGGGACUCAAAUACAAAUUUGUAUAAGUUCAGAGACUAAUAAAAUAAUUAACUUAAUAAAUAAAUAAAUAAACACACGUGAUGAAAAAGGUGUAAACGUGCAAGGAGAGAGUGUAUCUACGUACAGGGGCGUGUAUCCGAUUCCUAAGGAAAUAUGGAUAUUAUUAACGGCUACAAAAAUCUAUCUGUCUUGUUCUUGUAUAGCCACGUAGACAGAUAGGAACCUUUUACAAUUACACAAAGUUUAGGGACACUUUUUACAAUUUUACAAAAGAAAAUUCUUAAGCAUAUCCCUUCCUUUUUUUUUUUUUUGGUUCUUCUUAUUAUACGGAAAGGAAAAUUACAAAACAAAACCUUCAGGGCAAGGAAGCCGAAAGAUGUCAGUUCCCUUCCAUUGGAAAAUUUGAAUAAGUACAAAUUAACCUGCAAUGUUGCAUGAUAAAUUCAUGCUGGUGUCGUGUUUUUGUAGAAGUUAGUUUGAUUAGUAUUACAAAAUUAGGAUUUGUAUUUGGCCUGGUGACUGGUCAAAUAUCACAUAAUUUCUAAGAGCCAGCAGAGACGCUGAGGGUUCUCCGAAUUUUUCAAAAGUCGGCACCGUCUUUCUAAGUUAGGCCGUGGCCGUCGUCGCCAUGGUUACAGGCUGCGUCUCCACAGACAACUCUACACUAGUGCACACCUAGAGAUUAGAAUGAGAAUCGCUGCUGUGAUAUGAUAUGACUAUCUCAUUAUCUUCUUGGGAUGUCUAAGUCUUGUCCUUUCUCACAAUCACAGCCGUAGAUUCUUGGUUGAAAGCCGUAUUCCAAAUAUUACAAAGCAGGGUCUACGGUCCAGAUUUCACUAGAGUAUAUACCCUUUUGUCUCCUUGUUUAACUUGUCUCUGCAGGUUUGGGGAGCUGUUUUAUUAUUCUUUUGCCUUUGAAUGUUAUGAUCUGGUUGACUUUGAAGGUGUUUGAGUUUGACAUAAAGGCCUCAAUAGUCCAACAGGAAACACAAUAGUAAAGAGAGUUUGGCUUUUGACUACAUCUUCAAGACAAGAGAGAGGAGAGAGAGAGAGAGAGAGAGAGAGAGAGAGAGUUUUGGCGAAUUGGUGGGUACCUCAACCUGCAGACAUCCUAUUCAUACCUAAAGCUAUUGGGAAGGAAGGAAGAAAGCAAAUAGAAUUUAGAAUUAUGGGUUUCAGUGGGAAUCGGAUUAAUUACCAAACGUAGCAAAAAAAAACUAAAUCAACCUGUCCGUCUGUAAAUGUAAUGCCUAAACACAGGAAGCAUUAUUACUAUUUCAAAUAACUAUGGAUCUGUCUGUUCAUCCUGUAAGCUGCAGGUAGAUUGAAAAAGGGUUAGGUCCCUUUGUUUGUCCUAUACCCUUCAAACUCGGAAAUAUUUUUACUCACAACUUUAAUCUAAGGUGUAUUCUCACUAUUCUUCUUAAUACUUGGCAAUGUCAUAUUUAUACAUAUGCACACAUGUCAAAUAUUAAAAAAGAUGGUGAGAAUAUACAUUGGGUUAAAAUGGUAAGUAAAAAUACUCUCUUCAAACUCACCAACCACAAUCCCUAAAAUGCGUUAUGAUUCAAUUAACCAAUAAAUGAACUGAAAACGGAAUUUAAACCUGGGUUGAAUUUCAAAUGAAUUGCCAUGUGCCAUGUGACUAUCUUUUUUAUGUUUUUGUUGGGGUUGUUGGUUUUUUAGCUGAAAAAAGAAGAUAAAAAAAGAUGCUAGCUCGUUAAAUGCUGCCAACCCAUUUCAAAAGAGGGGACCAAGCAAGCAGCAUCGGAUUGAAUAAAAUCCUUUUAUUUACUUGAGUUCAAUCAUGCGAUUUCAAGGCCUAUGCCAGAUUGAAUCAUAAAAAUGGUUGGUCUUGGUCCUUUCUUUCUCACAUAAAACACUACUAGACUAGACUACUAGGCUUAGGGUAAAAGAAAAGAAGAAGGUGGUCCAAUAAAUGCUGGCGUACCUACAAUUACAACACUGUCUCAUAUCGUCUGCUCUACAAUGCUCUAUACAAUUGUAACAUCACAAAGGAAAAAUCUACUCAUUUUUGUUGUAUUUUUUAACCACCUUAUUAUUUUGAGUUCAGUCAAAUUUAUUCUUAUCGCGGUAAGUUUUUUGUUUCACCGUCACUUAUGUGAGUUGCAAAAUGUCGAUUUUGUUCGUGGAUUUUUCUAAGAAAGACAUGCGAACAACAAUUGUUUCUUUAUAAUAUUGCAUAUAUGAAUUAUAUAUUCUUACAAAACAAACAAACAACAUACAGAAAGGGUGAAAACGUCAUUUUGGUAUGUAAAUACUUUUCUUUGGUUAAAUUACAAUACACGUGAUCUAAAUAAAUAUUUGACUUCAACUUCUUUCAAUCAACUUUUAUUUUAUUUUACGUGUGGAAAUUAAAAAAAUGUAAGGGGGGCGCCCUGCUGUGGCGAGCAAGGUUGAGUGCCCCAAACCAAGACUGAGAAAUAAUAAUAUUUUUUACGAGAGAGGACAAAUGAAUAAUAUAAUUUCAUGGCGAGGGCGCUUUCUGAUAUCAUAACGACGUUGGCGUAUAUAUCAGAAGCAGAAUUGAAUUUUAUGAGAGAGAGAGAGAGAGAGAGAGAGAGAGAGAGAGAGAGGUCAAAGCUUGGGAAGCAGUUGGUUGGUUGGUUGUAGUAUGCUGCUACUGCUGCCAUAGGGGUAAUGAUUUAGAGAGAAGGUUAAAAAAAGAUCAGAAUUUCGGAAGCUCGUGAAGAUACGUUUGUGUGUGUGUGUGAGAGAGAGAGAGAGAGAGAGAGAGAGAGAGAAUUUUCUAUAUUCUUUUGUUUUAUAUUAAAAAUUCUAUAAAUUAAUUAAUUAAUAUUGGGUUGACACAGUGCAAGGAAGGAAGGUGUGCCAACAAAGAAAUAAACAGAAGGUGCACAGGAAUACCCCACUCGUACAAGCAGCAGGGAGCAGGGAGCAGGGGCAGCUAGUAAAAAUAGUAGCAAUAGCAAAGAGGUAUUAUCAGACUCUUUAAGGAAUUUACAGACCUUCUCAGCUCGUCUUAUCCUUUUCUCGUGAUCUCUCUCUCUCUCAUACUGGCCUUAAAUUCCUCCUCUUUCUUUGAAAUCCCUGCUGUGCCUACAAACCGACACGCUUCCAAAGGGUUUGAAACUUUCAACUUUAGAGGAAGAAGAAAAAGGAUAUAUGUUUUCUACAAGUAGAACAAUACCAACCCAAGUCUUAGGGGUCUGAAGGUUGCAAGAGUUUUUUUAUCAGGGGAUUUGGAGAAGACCCAGGUAGCUCUGACAUUUUGUUAACAGCAACAAGUAAUUAAGGAGAGAAUUAUCUAGGUUUGGAGGACCCCUCUUUGGAUUAAGAGGGGGUUUUGAUAGGAAAAACAAUUGUUAAGGAGGAAAAAUGACUAGUUGUAGUGCAAGGAACGGUGCUGUGAGGCAGUAUGUAAGAUCAAAGGUGCCUCGUCUGAGAUGGACCCCUGAGCUUCAUCACUGCUUUCUUCAUUCCAUUGAGAGGCUCGGAGGCCAUAAAAGUGAGUAAUAUCAUAACCAUCUUGUCUUAACUUUUGUUUCUUCGUCUUCUUUUGAAAAUAGAAAUGAAAAGUUUCUUAUAUGUUUCUUCUCUCUCUCUCUCUCUCUCUCUCUCUCUCUCUCUGCCCCCCAAGAGGCUACACCAAAACUUGUUCUUCAGUUGAUGGAUGUCAAAGGGCUCACCAUUUCUCAUGUCAAAAGCCAUCUCCAGGUUUUGUAUUUGUCUUUCUCUCUCUCUCCUGAUGGUUCGUCUAGUCUUUUAACUGCUUCUGUUCUUGUAAGCUAUACGUUAAAAUGUUCAUUUUCUUUCAUACUUUUCUUUAUCUGUUUGCCUUCUCCUUCUUUUGAUCAGAUGUACAGAAGCAUGAGGGGCGACCUGGGUACUAGACAACAAGGUAUUUAUCCAACUUCUUCACAGCCCUUUAUUAAAUUUGUUUUAUUUUGGCUGAUUUCUUGUAAAAGCUUUCUUCUUUUUACAUUUUCAUGUUUGUAUUUUAUCCUCUACUACUCCUGGUCUAAUAUGCAGUUCUGGUAGACUAUCCAUUUGUUUCCUCUAAUGGCCCGUGCUCAGGGCCAGUAUAAACGCCCGUGAUAGUAUAAAAUGAGACUCUACGGAUGCAGCAUCACCUCAUUUAUUAUGUGUAAUUCCUUGUAAUAUUUAUUGCUUAGUUGAUGCCCCAAAUGGGUGAUAGAGAAAGUGCACCAUUAUUCUUUCCGGUCUUCUCGUAUUGGCACUUCUCAUGAAAGUGAAAAUACAAACACCUCUCAGUCCCGAACUCUGCCAUAAAAUUCUCGAAAUGUCACUUGGGACUUAUUUAUUUUGCCUUUACUGUUGCUUUUUUUUACUUCUCUCUUUCUCGCGUUCUGUCUGAUGAUUUUUCUGGUGCUCUAGUGACAGAUAGGAGUUGCACGCAACCAAGAAAACAAUUGUUUGAAGAGCAUGAUGAUGGGUGUCUUGAUGAAUUAAAUGGUGUGAGUUUUUACCCAUCUUCCAAAUCUAUCAGAGAAUCAGAUUCUCAGCUCAUCUACAGUACUCCCCGCCGUUCAAAAAGGUUAGUCUGCACCUACAUACAUGUACUCUGCAGGCACUCUUUCUUUUUCUUUGUUUUGUUUUGUUUUUGGGGGAAGGGGUGGUGGGUGAAGGUGCUCAGAUGAUGUUUCAGGCUUCUGAUCAAAUGUCAACAAAGUAAGUAAUAAAGAUGGUGUGAUCAGAAACAAACAAAAAGGAAUGGCAUUGCAUUGCAUGAUAUCUUUGCUUUUUCUGAACUCUGCUUUCUUGUUCUAGAUAUAUAUAAUAUAGUAUAGGGUUCUUUUCUUAUAUAGUUAUAUAUAUAUGUAUAUAUAUGUUCUGCUUUUUGUCUGAUUUGUCUCCUUCGGUGGAUCAGAGCUAGAACCGAGACGACGAGUUCAAUCUCAGAGGGCCUGCAGCAGCAAUGCAGCCAAGGAAUAUAUGAGACAGUCUCAAAUCCGUACUCUUUUGAUGAUAAUGUGUUGGCAAUGGCUCAACAACAGCGUGGGGGAUUUAAGGAGCCUAACCCCUCAGCCUUGUCUCUGCCACAACCUCAUCUUCAUUACAACUUCAACCACCCCUCCUCCCAAUUUUCUCUGCAAGAAUCUGACUUCUUCAAGGUACCUAACACUUCUCUCUCUCUCUCUCUCCCCAACUUCUUUAACAAAUUUAAAUGUAGAGUUGUUGAGUGUAAAGUUGGUUUUUGCUUUUCAAGUUUCAACCAAAUUUUCUUUGCACGAAUCCAGACAUGUCCUUCUGAGUAUGACCAGCGAUGGCAUGGAUGGAAUGUCCAUUACCUUUUCUUUUGAAGUCAACCUGCUUCACCUCUAUUGCCUAAACAGUAGUUCACCACUUUUGCGUAGUGUUCAAUAAUAUAUUUUCUGUAUUAUUUUAAAUGGGUGAAACCUCUUCUUUAUAAUAUCCUUGUUUCACUUUUUUAUUCUCCUCCUGGGUCCUGGCCUUUAAGACAAGAGUGUGGAAAAGUUUUCAAAACUAGCUAUAAUAUAAUUCUUCAAUCAUAUAAUGUCACAUUGUUUCCUCUCCGGCUCUUUGGUUCUUCCGUUCACUGUGUUUUUUAAUUAAAGUUAAAAUUCAUUUUCUAAUGACCCGAUUUUUUGUUUUCUUCACCCCAUAAUGAUUUCUCUACAAAAAGUAGUUGGGUGCAUCAUUUCAUUUUGAAACAGGAGACAGACUGCUUUUGGUUUUGCAAGUAAUCGUCUACUCUAUUUAAUUUCAAGAUCUACCUAGCUACUGUUGAUUUGUCGUUUACAUGAGUUGCAUUGUAUUUUCUAUUUUGUAUAGAAACAUUGUUGCACAGAGGUCUUUGGUUGUUGCUGAAAACUCUUACAUUCUGUGGUCCAAUUCUGAUUCGUGUAUAAAUAGGGGACCCCUCCCCCCUCCCUCCCUCCAGACCACCUUAUGAGUGCCCAAACAGCAAAUUCAAUCAAAAUGUUAAUUUUUUUUUUUUUUUUUUGGAUUUGGGUUUGUGACAGGUUACCAAACCAGAGGCAAGAGCAGAUGCUGAUCAAGACAAUGAAGACGGUGAUUGUCAACUAUCACUCUCUCUCUCAUUACAUCAUCCUUCUUCCCACAAGAGUAAGAGUAAUGCUUCUUCAAGUGAGUUCAGUGGUGCAAUCUCAUCAUAUUCCUCCUCGAGGUCCAACUAUAAAGAUUGCUCCACCUCUUCUUCUGGGAACCAUCGCAGUAUUAAUUUAAAUCUUUCCAUUGCCCUCUGCGGUAAAUGAUUUCACUGUAAAAAAGAGUAAUCUGUUUUGUCCCAGUAGUAGAUUAUUUCAUGCCCUUACCGCAUUUGUUGGUUCUUUCUGUUCUUUGUUCUUUGUUCCUAGUUAAUUUAUCUUUACUUCUUCUUCUCAUCGAGCUACAUAGUUAAUUAGUUGAGUGAGUUCCACUUUUGAUUCUUCUAGAACAGCAAAGAGUACAUCUUUAUGAAAGAACUCUUUUUAAGUUUCAAAUUUCUUACAAGAUUAUCCUUCUUCACGGUAAUCUGAUGCCACUUCUAUGACAUAAUAAGACAGCGGCAUUUGGAACCUUUGUCUAACCGGAGUUCAGCCAAUCUAUCUAUGUACGACAGAAAAGACGUAAGAGUUGCAAACCUUAAUUAUGUAUCUAAUUGGUCCAAGAAUUUUAUAGAGAGCGUGAAGCCCAUGCCCAUUUGUACGGAGUUAAUUGUGGGUUGGAUUUGUAGAGCAUCAUGGGCCGGCUCAACUAGCUAUGAUACGGACCCACUUUUGGUCAUCGCCAUGCUCGCAAUGUUGUGGAAAUCUUCUCUUGUAAUCUCAAAUCUAAUAAUGACAACUUCAUGGCAAAGUUUAGGAGCGAUACAUUGGUCCAUUGCAUUUGCCCUGUUUCCUCAGCGCAGACAUACCCAAAACAAGUAGUAGCAGUAAACACUACAGAAAAAAAAGAAAAGAAAAACCAACUACAAAACUGGAUAGCUGUUGCUGCUGUUGGGGUCCAAUCAGUUGGGAGCAAAUUUUAUAGCACAUCUAACACCAGCUACAAAGUCAGUCAAUACACUGUUCCUUUUCAUGAUCUUCCAAUGUCUUCCCCCAAAAUUAGGUCAUGGCGGAAGUUAUAAGAUGCUUUAAUCCUUGUUAAUUCUUUUUGCCCUUUGUUUUGGUAUCAGAAACCAGUGCCUUGAUGCAUAAUCGUGGCUUCACGCUUACGACGUUUCGAGGAAGAACUGAAACAGCAACCACUAAGGACUCUUUGGGUACACCAGAGAGGGGUAGUAGCUCAAUUAGGACAGCAAGCUGUAAAUGUACUCUAAUAGUUAGAACAAAUUGAAAAUGACAUGCCAAACUAAUAAUUUGCUUAUGAAUUUGGGACAAAGAGGAAGGAAUUCUCACCUCUGGAGAUUUGAGGUCCACCACUGAAUCUGAUACAACACCUGUGACUGCAGAAGCCACUAUUUCAAAGCAUUUGUCACGGUCCAACAAAACAACCGCAUUUGAAGCUUCUUUGGAAGUAUUCAGUUCUGUUUCUACCCCUCUUCUGUUAUACCCAACUGCAAACUACAGAAUCACGUAAAAAUUUCAUCUUACGGAAAAUAAUAUAACCCGCAUAAAAUAAUUAAAUCCAUUUUCUAGGUUGCCCAAAAGAAUAGUAUAUCUUUUGAUGAAUUACUAACGUUGAUGCAGUGAUAGAGGAUAUAACAACCUUUAUGGGCCGUGCAAGUUUCUGAUUAUUGUUCAAAAAUUGAAGAACAAGCUUUGAUACAACUUCAUGCAGUUCCUUCUCAUUCAAACUACAAGUAGCUUGGAUAGGGAAAAUGCGAUGACACCAACUGCACCAACGAACUCCCAAUUCUUAGGCAAGCACCAAUUUUUGGCCACAAAGGGAAAAAAUGAUCACAUGUAUUACUGGAUCCUUCAUAGGAGGAUGUCAAAAAAUUUAAACUUCAUAAAUGAAUACUGAGUGCAAAACCAAUUUAGAGCUGAGGCACAACCUCAAAGUGGGUUAUAGGUGAAAAAAGUCUCAAAGUACAAACAAAUAAAAAAAUUAUAAUGUCAACAUUUCUAAUGACAGAGAAAUACUGAGUAAAUAUAGUUUCUUUUAGUAGGUAAAGCAUGGCAUAGAAAACACAACAUAUACGAAGCAUAAUACUAGGUAACAACUGGUGAAAACAUCUAAGAUUCCAUUAUUGGGAGAAAUUAUUUCGAAAAAAGACACAGAUAAAAAGUUUUAAACAAAUUAAGCACAACUUGCAUUAACUGUUUCUAAGAGAAAAUAUGAUACGUGAGAAACAGGCAAAUUAUCUACUCACAGGGGUGAACCACAACUCCCGGAUUCCACAGAAUGCAUAAUUUUGGAUACAGUAUCAACAACGUCAGGAGAAGUGCUUUUGGGGAAGGUAAAGAGAAGCAAACCACUCUUUGUAAGCUUAACCAGCGAAAGAAGAGGGCUUGUGUCUCCUUCCGCAUCCACCUUCGCAGGAGGCAAAGGAGGACCCUCUUGAACAUCAUCUGCCAUAGCCAUUAUGAUUACAAACAAGUCAUAUCACAAAACAGAAGCUCAGCAUCUAAUUGUAUAAGAAGUAAAAGUAAAAGCGAUACCAUGCGCGUCCCCAGAGUUAGCAGUAGCCUCCUCGCCAUCUGUAUUCUCUUUGGAAAGCUUCCUUCUUUUAGAAACGGCUUCUUCUUCUGAACUGCAUCUAUUAAAGCACUGAACAUACUGAAAACAUAGACAUAGAAACAAAUUGUAAACAUAAUUCAAAUCCACAUAUAAAGCAAAUAAUCAAUCAUGCAUUAUACUAUAUAUCAUCCCUUCAAGGCUUUGUGCGAGUUUACCUUUGCAAGGAGGGAGAUUGCUUCUUUUGUGGCGCUUUUCUCCCUCUCUGAUAAAUUGAUUAUAGCAGAAAUAAAAAGGAAACUUCAUUUCAGAAUCAGUGGGUUUGUGGGGGUUAAAUUAGGGAGAUAGAAAUUAGAAAGAGAAAGAGAAAGAGAGUGACAGACUAAUGGGGCAGGUGAUGAGGAAGCCAGAGUGGGAGUGUUGGAGAAGAGAAGAAGGGGCGUUGUAGUCGAAGCGAGGGAUGCUGAUUACAGUAGAGUGUUGCUCCCAUGGUGCCAUCUCCUCUUUCUUACUCAGCUCCCUCUCCUUCUCCUUCUCUCUUUCUUCUUCCGCCAUUGCCCUUCUUCUGUUCUGACUUCGGAGACCGAUACCCAAUCUCUGUUCGAACCAACUUCAACUCUUUAUUUUCUCGAGUGUAUGUGUGCCCUAAUUCCUAAUAAUUGGACUCUUUUUUAUGUUAUUGUUACAAAAUUUGUUUAUUAAUUUUCUAACCAAUUUCUUUCAUGUCUAUUAAUAUUCAGAUUUUUUUUUUUCAUAUUUAUAAAUGCAAAGAUUGUAUCAACAUACUGAGAGAAUUAUUAUAAACUAAUUUUGUGCAUUUCUUUUUUCUUAUUUUCCUUGCUUUUUUUUUUCUUCGCUUUUUUGAAAGAAAAGAUGUUACAUCUGACUGCUUGUGCAAUGGAAAAAACAUUUGUGAGACUUUGCAUAUAUAUUUUUUGUAAUACAAACGGCAGCGCAAUCUGCAAGUUAUGGUACAAACAGAAACAGAGAGUAACAGGACAAAUUUGAAAGGUUGGCAUUGCUAAUCGAAUCCAUUAAAUCACUGGUAUUAAGUUAAGUAUUCAGACCAAAAAAAAAAAAGUUGAAGUGAGCAUAGUGAUAUUAAAACCUCACACACAGUAAUGCUCUUCUGUUAGCUUAACAGUGUGCCACGUUAUGUUAUCCUGUGAGUCUGACUGAGAUUGCUAAUCAAAAUGGUUGAUGUAAAAUUGCAUUGCACCAGCAUUAGCUACAGACUUGAUCUUCUAUAAUUUAUCAAUUCACUAUUUUCCGGCUUUUAAGUUUGAGGGGAUGGAUCUAUUAGUACAAGUGAAAGAGGCUUAUACAACAAUUUAAACACAAGGGAUGUAUAGGAUUUACUUCUAUUUUAACAUUUACAAUUGGAUAUAAACUAAAACAAAUCCUCACACCAAAUCUCGGCUCCGUUUUUGUUUGCAUUCUGCACUGAUAAAUUAUGUGAUGGGCAAAGGGUGCAUUUCCAUAGCAAGAAGCUGACCUUCUUUUCCUCUUUUCGAUGAAAAGCUUUUGAAAGCCCUCAAAUAGCCCUUUUCUUUUACACCCGGUCAAUUUGCAUCUCUUCUUCGAAUUCCACGAUUGCCCUAGCAGGAAGAUACCAAAACUUGUAACAAACACAAGAAGCUAAAUAAUCACAUCUUCAUUUGAAUUUGCCGAUGGAUGUGUAUUAGAAACUCGAUAUAAGAGAGGCCAUUCAAACUCUUGUCUUCUACGAUAUAUGAGAAGAAGAGCAUCCCUGCGAAACAAGAACAGAAGAUUUAAUUCACAUCAACCAAAAACAUUUAUCUAAUACCAUAAUAAUUUUACAUCAGAAUUAUUGUUUUGUCAUAUCCCCUCUGACAACAGUGACUGAAAAAAUUGAAGCACAACAUCUCUGCUUCUCAUACUACAGUAAAUAAGGGAAAACGAUGCGGCUAUCACAAAGAGUGAUUGACGGUGUGCAACAAUUAGGCCAAAAAUACUGUAAGUUAUACUUGGCCUGUUUGUUGAUAGCUUACAUCAAAGUUUCAUAGUAUUUACUAUUGCAGAAUAAAAGAGAGAUUUGGGGAAGGGGUGAUACAUACAAAGGGAAAAGGGAAAUAGUCUCAUUAACAUGAACAAAAAAAGAAAGGAAUAAAGUUUAUCAAAGGGGAAUUGAAUAAUGUGGAUACUGUUUUAAAUCAAAAUUUUAUGCAUAGUGGCUGUCAAGUAGCAGAUGUAGUCUAGUUUAUAUUAAAGGGAUGUUCUAAGUUGUAAUGCACUGACCUGAUGGAUCUCCUUUCUUGCAUAAUUUCAAGCUGUAAGAAAAUAAUGAGGAUUAUAUUAGACUUACAUCAGAUUGACACAUCAUUGAAUUACAAACAAAUUUUUUUUUUACCACAAGAAACUUUUUUCUUUUGUUAGGCAUAUAGAGCAGCAGGUUGCCCUGGCUAGAACAAGGGUCAUCCCUGCGAAAAUGAGCUUGAUUACCACCUGGCUGGUCCAAGGGGUCUAAAGAAGCACCAACUAGCUCUUAUUCUGGUGGUACUUACCUUCCCAGUGUUGGAAGAGAUACCAAGUUCGAAUCUCCCCUUCCCCAUUAAAAAGAGAAAAACAGGGUCUAAAGAAGCCAAAAUACAAGGUAACAGAAAGAAGCAUACCGGAGGUAUGAACAUCUUUGGCGUCGAAUCUCAUUUAUCAAAUCAUUUAGCUUCUUUGAGAAUGGAUUGUCAUGCUGCUGCAGCACAAACUGUGUAUGACAAAAAUAAUAGCCAUCAAAUGAAAAUUCUUCGAUCAGGAAGUAUAUCUGAGAAUGCAGUUUGCAAUUAUACAACAUGUUUAACAGGCAUCACAAUAACCGAUGAAUGAAAUAUUUAGACCCGGAUGAGUAUCCAUUCUUAAUUACUGGGCCAACUAAUUUUAUGCCUUUAAUUUGUUUCUUAUAAUAUACAACUUAAUCCUGUCUUCAAGAUUUUAAGCAGAUUCCUAAUUUGUCAAAUUGAUAGCAGAUACUAGACCGAAUUACAUCAGACGAAUGAAGUUUGGGUCGUCAAUGAGGUGCUCAACUCCUUGGAACCAAGAGUCAGAGGCAAGUUCUCGCCAGCCAUGAAUAACAAUAUUAGGCAGACAUUAUGUAUAGAACGACUUGGCUUAAGAUGUACCUGAGUAGGAAUUUCAUCAACUGAGGAAAUUCCAAACAGCUUAGUCAACAUAUCUGGAUCAACUGAGUUCCCAAUAUAUAUUAAACAAUCCUCUCCAUUCUCAAGAAGAUAAAUUCCCUCAUCACUGAUAUGCUCACUAGAAAGUGGAAUUGCAGGAGGAAAAGGAGAUUCAUCUGUCUGUCAAUCAACAAAAAAGUUACUAGUUGUUUUAUUUUUUUUGGGGGGGGGGGUGUGUGAGGGAGACCAUAACAAAGGGGAAAAUAUGAAACUUUAAGUAAUGUGGAACCAUUCAGAGUUUCAGACCUUAGAAAGAAGGUCAUGGAUUGCCACCAUGCGUGGAUACACAAGUGCUAUUGCUAAAGGAGUAGAAACAGAAGAAACAUAAUUGAUCCAAAAAGACCGUUCAUCUAAUUUCCCAGCAGCUCGCAAUCCUGUGCUUUUAGUUAAUGCUGAAAAGAAUUAUAAAUAAAUAAAAGAAACACAUUUAUCAAAACAUGUACAAACUUCUAGAGAAGCUGACUUAUACUUCAAUUACUGCUAAUAUGCUUAAUACAGGAGUCUUGCAAAGCAUAGUCCAUGCAUUCGAAAUAACAAGAUACAUUAUAAAACAUGAAGGAAAUAAAUGAAAAUCCUGAGUUUAUUUAAUUUUGGAGGAAGAAAAAAAAAACCAUAGUUAUCUCCACAGAAGUGUUAAAUAAAAGAUGCAGCUUCAACAAAAUACAUCUAGUAUAGUUUUAUGACGUAUAAGCUUACAACCACAAAAGAAGACACCAAUGAAGAAUAAAAGAAAAUACCAAGGAUGUAUAAAGGUAGAAGCUUAAGUGUCUCUGGAAGAACAAGUUGUCCAGACGAUGAUACUGUAGCACAAAAUUUCCUAUAAGAACACAGAAUCCUGAUGCAACGAUCAGUCAGUCGUUCACGGACUUGCAUGAGCGGGCAAGAAGGGAUUUCAAUUGCCGCUACAGAAAGAAAAUUACAAAGUAAAUUGUAUCAUUUCCCAGAAAUCAAAUAAUAGCUAUACGGCCAUGUAAGAGUUUAAAAAGAGGGCAGUUCUGGUACAAGUCAGUUCAAAAAGAAAGAGAGAAAAAUCCAUGGUACAAAGGCUGUAAAAACAAGAUUGUAAAGAAAAUGGUACAACCAAAUACCUUGCUUCAAGAUACAAGCAAACUGGGUAUCUAAGUCAGCUGUACGGAAAAGAUUAUUCAGCAUACUUGUGCAUGGAAGAGAUAAUGUUGUAACUCGAAUUCUUCUUUGGCCAUACAAAGUGGUGUACAGAAGUGCACACUGGACAAUGGAAAGAACAAUGUCAUUAGAAGUAACAUAACAAUCAUUUUCUUUAACUGUGAUUAUGGGAAGCUUGCAGAGAUAUACGGACAAGAUACUCCUAGAAGGUAAAACCAGUUAGUACCUGAAAUGCACAUUCUGAGCCAUCCUGCAAUUUAUCAUCGUGUUUUAUGGUUACCAUUAUAGUUUUGUCACAGUCAAUCUGCACAAUAUAAGGAUGAGUUAAGGUUUCGCAAAUUACUGGCCUCGGGUAUUAGCCACAGCUCGUAUUCAUUACAAAGCUAACAACAUAAUCUAAAGUACCACUCAAAUAAAUGAAUGAAAACCAAAAACAAACCAGUAAUCAAGAUGGAAUAGUUAUGGCAAAUAUAGAAGAGAAAUAAUUAAUUUCAUCUCAUUGGUUUGUAAUACACGAGGUUUUGGGCGUCAUUACUAGUCAUUACUACUUUUUUUUUUUUUUUUUUUUUUGGGUAUGAGGUAAUGUGUACCACAGCCAUAGUAAUUUUGAGUUCAACGAUAAUACAUGCAAUGCUAAUGACACUUACAUUAACUUUAAAUUAAUUCAAUCAACAUUUUGAUGCUAAUAUGGGUGGGUCAACACAACGGAUUUCUCAUUCCAUAUCCAUGGUGGAGAAGAUAGAUUCAAAGAUGUAGCACAUGCGUAUAUUGAUGUAUUAAUGUAUAUAAGUAAGUGCAUUUGUGUUGUAUAACAUACCCCAGGUAGGUCGACGUCAGUAGGAAUGCGUUUGCAGAAGUUCCCAUGGUACUCCUGAACUCGGAGACCCUAUGGUAGAUUAGGAAGAAAAGUUUACUUAACAGUACAGAUAAAAUUAUAAGUAACUAUUUGCUAUACGCUAAAGGCAAGGAUGAGAAAGUGAACAUCAGUGCUCCAAAAAGGUUACCUGGCUGCAUCUCACACGCAUCACUGCCUCAAAACCUUGAGGCCUUGUGACAUUCCAUCUAAGGUCAUUGUAGAUCUUUGCAGAGUCGGCAACAGCGGAGAAAGGGUAAUAAUAAUAGACCUGGAACAAAGAGGAAAAGAAACAAAGUUGAAACCUGACAUUCUAUAAUAACAAAAAAAAGACCUGGAACAAGGAUGUAAAAUCAAAUCAAUAUAUUCUAUAAUGUAAUGCAAGAAUAGACGUUUUUGGUACCUGGCCACCAGUAAUUCUUGGGAUGACAGACAUAGAAGCUAUGUCUAUGUAAGUCUGGGUAGUGAUAAAAAUAUCAACACAGACCUGUAACAUGUCAAGACAGAGACAAUUAGCCCAAAUAAAUUAUGCCCAUCAGCAUUUAUAUCUACAAAUGCCAACAAUAACCAAGAACAAAAUUCAGAAUUAUAUCCAACUCAAAUAAAAUGCAAACAGAACACUUAACGUUUUACCUGAUACUCAGCAACUUCCACUGCCAUUGUUUUUAAAAUCUUUUCAGCUGGUUGAAGUAAUUUAUGGACCUCCUGGUGAAAAAGAGACGUUCAUAAACAUGAGGAUAAUCUUCUGCCAGAACAAAUGGCACUACCACUAGACUAAUGUCAACAUGGAAGACAGCAAGUAAAGGAACAAUAUAAAAUCUUGGUGCCUGUAAAGAAGAGAUCACAUUCUUACAUUUCCAAUAGGAGUGCCCAAAAGGCAAGCACUCUCAUUGGAAAGUACAUAAAUAUCAAAAGGGAGUGUCUAGAAGGCAUGCACUGCACAAGAACACUAGCUUAAAAAAACUUUCCAUACAUUCUGCUCUUUAUAAAAUGCAAAACUUUGAGGAAGCUACCUUAAAAAAUACUAAUACAGAAAUACAAAAAACUCAGGAAGCUGCUAGAAAUAAAAACUAAUACAUAAAUAUACACCUUGCCAAAUAUGGAGACUUCAGGCAAGCAUUAAAAGAAAAAUCACAUUGUAGUUCAAAGAUGUAGAGGAUCCAUAUUUCAUACAUACUAUCAAUUAAUAAUUAAAAAUUGAUAUCCUGGACACGCAUUAUGACAUCUAGCAAUUUUGGCAAUUCGAGAAUACUAAAACGAUAUAGUUUUCCAGAAUGCAGGAUUUCAUAGGUAAAGCAAAGGGAUGGAAGAACAUGUAGUUGAAGAAAACCAGUAUAUCAUCUAUUGAUACCUUCUCACCCGCAGAAGUAUUAGUUCUUCCUUCAGCCUCUCUAGCUGAAAGGGCCCCAGUUCCAAUUGAUGGCAUGACUGUAGACCACAUUGGAUAAUUAUUAGAAUAUACUCAAAGGUUGGUUUUAUAAAAGAUUUAAUUCCUAUAAUUCAAAAGGGAAAUAAAAAGAUCCCUUACAAAAAUGAUCAAGAUAAAUAUAGGAUUGCUGUAACAAGUAUUUGGAUGACUUAAACUAGGUCCAAAAAACACAAGGUUGUAAAAAGUAGGUCCAUAAAACUAAAAUCACAUCUGUUUGAACUUGCCUGACUGAAAUACCAAAAGUUUUCCACCGUUACUUUUCAUUGCUAAGAAUGCAGCCUAAAAAGUAUAAAGAAGAUGUUAACAACAUUAGAAAAGGCAUUCUAUAAUUUCUUAGACAUUAAUUAAUGUGAUUAUAAAAUGUGCAAAGCCAAUGAUUUAAAAAUAUAAAAUGAAAACCAGAAAGCCCUAUGUAACAAGAACCAAUGUUACAAUCUUUUUUACUCUCUCUCCCACCAUCUUUAACACACACCCAGACCAAAUACGAGAAUAAAUACCAUACCUUGACUGCGGCACCAAAGGCUGAGUCAGCUGUUUUAUUAUCUUGAAACAGGGAUGGGAUGCUUUCCAAAAGUAGGUCUAAAUGUUGACGGCACUGGAUCCAUGUCAGAAACAACCGAAGACUUAAUAAAAAAAUCAUUUGACUUAUCUGGGUUUGCAAAGAUAUUGCCUUACACAUAUCAACAGCUGUACUAGAAAACACAACAAAACUGAACUCUGAAGCUAACCUCAGAAAGCUGAACAAUUACAUCAGUCUGCAGAGGAGUAUAAACAUCUUGCACAUCAGGGACAAUGAGCAUCAAUGGCUGCAAAACAUAUCAAAAAUAAACAAGUAAGCAAUCUUCAAUUACAACAUAGGGUAACCACCUAUUUAGAUAAGAUAAUGAAGCAAAUGUUACAUUAUAUUGCAUUGCAGAAGAGAGAAUGAGUGACAAAGUUGAUUGUGAAACACAACAAGAAUGGUAUUAUGCAAGAACGCAUUUUCCUUUCCCUUUCACAAAUUGAUAGGACAUUAAUGCUAAAUAAAUUCACAUGAACAUUACUAUGUAAGCAAAUGUUAAAUACUCCGAAAUACAAAAAAAUUCAGCUCUACAACAAAAUUUUAAAUCUAACAAAGUUAUAUAUUGACCUGCUGUAAUGAACGUUUCAGAUUGUAAAAAUGAAUUGUAGUGUCAAAUGUUGCAAUCCCCACCAUCGUCCUAGGUCCUUCCUGAAAUAGUAGAAUCAUCAAUAUAUCAGUUGCUAAAGAAGCUAACCCAAUACAAAGGUUCUUGUAGAAACUUAAAAAGGUUGACAUGCUCCAAAACCAAGGUGAAAAGUAAGUUUCUAAUUUUCCAUAAGCAGGUGCAAUUAAAAGCUUCAGUAUUCUGCAAAUAGGCAUAAAACUUACAGGAAGAUCAGAAAUAACUUGACGGAUUGCACUGCAUGCCGCUGCAGUUGCUCCAGUUUGCAUAGCAUUCAUAGAUACAUCAAUAAGGAAGAAAUACAUAGACAGCAUUGGAUCACGCACCUGGAACACGAAAAUUAAGUUCGAAAAGGAAGAUAUUGCAGGUAGUCUAAUCGAAAAAUAAAAGGAGAAACAAAUUGAAGGCAGCCAUUCCCAUGACUAAAGCAAACAGUAGGUCAUAAAGGAUGCAUUCUCAAGGGAGCACGAUGCAUUUUCUUAUUGACAUUUGGCAACUAUAAAGGCAGACUCUUAGUUAAAAUUAAAACUUAAAUCCUCAGUUAAAAUUUAAAUCCUCUAGUCGACUUGUAAGUGUCCAAAGCAAUAUACUGUACAUUGGCUGGGAGUCUGAAACUGCCCUUAAUCUCAAAUCAAAAUUAAACUAGCGAAAUAAAUGUGGAAACCAAACAUGAAUCCGCAUAAAGCUGGAAAAUCUCAUGAAACAACUAACCAUGUAUUCUUUGGAAGCAACAAAUUCAACCAUUCCUCUACAAAGCUCAGGCCUAUCAUCAGAAUCUCUACGCCUACCAUCUGGACCAAGAUUGCAGUGGUAGUCACGGGGAGUCUCAUCAGUGAAUCCUGCAAAUUAAACUAGCACAUGUCAUAAAAUCACAACCCUAUCCACUGUUGACCAUGUUUGUGAUGCAAUAAACAGCCAAGUCCAGAUGCCAAUGAAUAAAAAGUCACAUGAGCAUUCUGGAUACCAGUAACUUGUAGCAACUCUCAUGACUUCAUGAGAGAAUGCAUAUAUUCUUAAAAACUGAUUACUAAGAUCUUGGUGUAUAUAACAAUGUAAAUUGUAAUUUUAUAAAACAAUUGUAAUAAAAUUUUACAGUGUAACAACAAGGACAGUCAUCCUAAAUUGAAGAAUAAACAAGAGCCAACAAGAAAUCUUGUCAAAAGACGAAACCUACAUGUAAACUUUGGGAGAAGGGAGAAGCGAAGAUCAUGCACAAACAUGACAGUAUAUUCCACAUAACACGAUGUAAACGAAAGCAAACACAUAGAGUUGCAAAGAAGGAUAGAAAUAGAUAACAAAAAAAUACAAUGAUAAGUUGUACUAACCACACAAGUUACAUACGAACUGCCUUCCCUGAUCAAUGAACUUCAUGAAAGGAUUUAUGUAGCCUUUGCACCGAGAACAACGAAGAGGACCACUUUCACCAAAAUCCACGACCUGUAUCAAGAAAAGUUUAUUCAACAACACCAAGAAAGAUGACAUUUACACAGAAAUCACAAAAACUAGCAAAGAGAGGGGGGCAAUUCCAAACUUUGUGUGAACCGCCAAAUAUGAAUUUUGACUCAUGGACCAACGGAUAAGUAUGCUGUGAAGUUUACCAUGACAAGCAUAUAGAAAAAAUAGACUAAAGGAUAUUGAUGCAUUACUGGUAUUGGCUCUUCAGACGGUUGAGGAAGGGCCAAGGGUUGGAGCAACAAAGCCAACUGCAUCCCUGAAGUCGCCAAAAGGUCAGCAGUGCAUGGAAUCUGUUGAAAUAGAAAGGAAAUAUGUAUAAAAUAAAAUAAAAGCUGAGAAUAAUUUAUUUUCCUCGCAGGAUCCAACGGAUAACAAUUAUGAAUAUAAAAGAUAAAACGCUUGUUUGUAAUUGAUUGUGACCUGAUUGAUGGUGCACCUCAUAUUACGUGGACUGCAGUUCCCAGUGUCUCUGACAAUGUAAUCACUUGUAGUAGGCUUGAGAAAAGUUACAUUUAGUAAGAGGUGAAAGAUCACUAGACGCUAUAGCAGCAUGCAUGUACAGAAUGAUUGCUGAAGAUAAAUUAUAGGAAGAAAAAGAAAAUGAAGGGCAAUAAGAUUUAACUAAAUAAAUACCGGAGGAGGGUUGGCCUGAUUGCACUGGCGAGUUUCAUGCACAAUCACUGAGGAAUUUGGAAUGGGUCGUGGUAUUUGAUUCGGAUCAAUCUUCGAGGGUCCUGCCACUGGGGCUCCAGUUUGGCCCACAGCAUGUGAUAUGGAAGUCAUAGAUUGAUUUGGCAAUGGUGGUGGCGUUCCAAACAUUCUUUGUUGUUGCAGGGAAGUUGGUGCAGUUUGAGGCGCCUAAAACAAUUCAAAAUAUUUUGCAGUCAGAUUAUUGAGUGAAAAAAAACAAGAAAUGCAUACAAUGUAUGAUAAGCUAGAAUUGUAGUUCAUAAAUAAUGCACUAACCUGUUAUACUUUUAUGAUGAAUGAAAUUUGAUUGGAUCAUGAAUAGCUUACUUGGUUCGGUUGCAUGGACCAAGUUUGUGGAGGAUGAGGUUGUUGUAGACCUUGGGAUGCUACUGAAAAUGGCGGUGGCUGUUGCACUGCAGGACCUGGGUCUCUCCCCACUGAACUGCCCAAUACGGAAUGCAUGGUUUGCGGAGGCUGAGGCUGAGCAAGAGGAGGCGGUGGAGCAAGAGCUGCCGCCAUUGUUGUUGAAGGUCCACUACCAGGUGGGGGAAAACGGGGCAAAAUACCUGGGGGCGGUGCCGGCGGGAAAGCAUUGGUAGGAGGAGGUGGUCUGUAACCAAGUGGUGAAGUAGCAGGCGGCCCUGAAGGCCUUGGUGGACCCACAUAGGGUGGAAAUGAGGGCUGUGAGGAGGGUCCCACUGGAGGAGGCCCCGACAAAGGUCUUCGCUGAGCAGGCCGAGCCAAUGGACUCGGAGACGGUGCUGAUUUAGGAGGAGGGGAAGGUCUAGGUGCCGAGGUGGGCAUCGAAGGCGGUCGAUUGAGAUUCAAAUUUUGCAAAUUCUGCGACAAAGAAUCGGAAUUUGGGGGAAGAACGCUAUGACUAGGGUUGUAAUUGUAAUUAGGGGGUGGUGGACGAUCACCGGGUCUAGGUGGCCCUGGAGGCACAGGAGCUGCCAUCUAGACGAAAUUCAAAACUCUUACAAUCUCUUCUCUUCCCUUUUCAUUCUUUUUAUUUUUCUUUUAUGGAUUCUUCUUCAAUCUUCAUUGUAUGAACUAUACCAACAAAGUUUGAAAAUUCGGUAAACUUAACCGGAACGAAUGGAGCUUUAGGGUCAGUGAGAAAAAACCUUGGACUGAAAAGAAGCUCUGGCGAUGAUUCGGGCUUGAUUUUUUUACCGUUAAUUCGAAAUGUAUUUACAAGCGAAGAAAGAGAGAGAUAAGAUAGGGAGGAAAAGAUCAAAUUCAAAACAGAUUUUAUGGCUUGUAGGAGAAACAAAAUGUUGGGUGUGAGAGAUAAGGGAUAAUAAUGUUGACGGCCGGCCGGAUCGCACUUCCAUCUUCAGAGCCACUUCACAAUUUUUUCCUUUUAAAUCAGGAAAUGGUUGGGUUAGCCAAAACCCAAGUCGUAACGGUGUUUUUUCCACACCUAGAAAAAGGAAAAAGAACGGUUUCCCAUUUUUUAUUUUUUAUUUUAUUUUUUGGUAAACGAUAACGUUGGCAUUUAUCUGCUGUACUUACCGCGUCGGCUAUCGCGACUGAGGCCUUGACAUUGAUGAAUUUAAUUAGUUAAAUUCUUCAGCGACUUGCCAACGAUAACAUGCCCAAAUGCCAAACCAUCGCCUUUGAUGCAUCCGCACCGGAGGCGUCUCCCGCCGACGACGCUCCGUACACUCACCAUUGACUCCGCCGCCGCCAUGGUUCCAGAAUCCGUGGUACUCAUCCGCCGGUUCCUCUUGUUUGUGGCGGUUUGCCUCUCGUGCUUGCUCCUCUACAACGACUCCAAUGCCCUGCGCUUUCUCCCUCGCUUCUCUUCGUCUCCCUCUGUUCUCUUCUCCGCCAACAAUUCCCCUCUCGUGAGUGUACACUGACUCUCAUAUCUACUUUCUACUUUCAAUUUGUGUAUUGCGGUGCUUUCGAAUUUUGUUCUUCAUUUCCUUCAGCUAUUGAAAAUGGGUCUUUUGUGUUGUUCUCAAUUCUUGUGCAUUUCCUACUUGGUGAAUGAAAAGAGUAUACAAUUUAGCUGAAUUGCGUUGUACCUAUUGAAAGCUUGAAACUUGUGUAGGUUAGCGGGCAACAUAGGCUUCAAAAGGUUUUGAAGGAUGCUGCCAUGGAAGACGGAACUGUGAUUUUAACAACUUUGAAUGAAGCAUGGGCAGCUCCCAAUUCAAUCAUCGAUCUCUUCCUCGAGAGCUUUAAGAUUGGAGUUGGCACCCAGAGGCUCCUGAACCAUUUGGUGAUCAUUGCCUUGGAUCAAAAGGCAUUUCACCGUUGUUUGGAGCUGCAUACCCAUUGUUUUGCUCUUAUCACUCAAGGGGUUGAUUUUCGUCGAGAGGCUUAUUUUAUGACCCCUCACUACUUGAAGAUGAUGUGGGCAAGGAUUGAUUUUCUGCGCUCUGUUCUUGAGAUGGGCUACAAUUUUGUUUUCACGGUAAUCUCUUCUGCUACUAUUACAAACCCAUUGGCACUUAAACUUGAUUUUCUCAAUUUGAAAAUUAUUUAUAUGAUACAAUACAACCUGACGAGAAACUUUUAGACAUGAAUUACCAACUUUGAAAAUUAUUUAUGUCACAACCUUCUUUUUGGUCAUAAUUUGUGACAUAACCUGAUGAUAAGAUCUUAGACUUGAAUUACUUUACUCGAAGGUAUGUUUGCCAGAUCUUCUGUGGCUGUGUUGAUUCAUUAUUUAUUUAUCUUAUUACACAACCUCUUGAUUAAGGUAUUCAAGUAUUUAUUGCAAAAUACAUCUGUAAGACUCAGAAAUGCAUACCCCUCUGUAUUUCAUACUGAUUUGGGACAUUUUGUUGUACUUUGAUAUGUUUCGUAUUGAUUGAAAUCUCAUCAACCUUGGUUUUUUUUAUUUAUUUCAAUUCCUUUGUCGUUGGUCUUUCCUCCUCCAGGAUGCUGAUGUUAUGUGGUUUAGGGAUCCAUUUCCACAGUUUUAUAUGGAUGCUGAUUUCCAGAUCGCAUGUGACCAUUUCCUAGGCAGCUCAGAUGAUUUAGAGAACAAACCCAACGGAGGGUUUAACUAUGUAAAGUCCAAUAACAGGUCAAUAGAGUUCUACAAAUUUUGGUAUUCGUCACGGGAAACCUACCCUGGAUUUCAUGAUCAGGAUGUCCUCAAUAUAAUCAAGUUUCAUCCUUCCACCUUUACUAUUGGACUGAGAAUGAAAUUUUUGGAUACUGCUUACUUUGGUGGAUUUUGUGAACCUAGUAAAGAUUUGAAUCAAGUUUGUACAAUGCAUGCAAAUUGUUGCUAUGGUCUAGAUAGCAAGCUUCAUGACCUUCGAAUCAUGGUUCAGAAUUGGAAGCAGUUUAUGUCCUUGCGACCAAAUUUGAAGAGAUAUUUGAUCUUACCAUGGGGGGUUCCGCAGAAUUGCAGGUAAGGAAAGCAAGCACAUAAAGAUAUUGGAUGCCUUGAAUUUUUUUUUUUCUUUUUAAAUCUGAAUUGAUUGUUUCUUAAUACAGUAGCAUACAUCUAUAAUCGCCAUCACUUGUUCAGUGUUUAACCAUUGUUUUCUAAUACGGUUCUUAAUUUUUGUGAAUUUCACUCCAGCCUUGAUUCUCUCCGUCGCUAUGAUGCACCAGAGAGCAAUAAUCCACAUGAUUUGCAAGACUGAAUGGAGCUGUAUAAGUUCUGAAGCCUCUGCCACACAGGUGCUUUCCAGGUUUGAAUGCCAAGGACAUUCGUGGGGAUAAACCUUCUUCGAUGAUAGAAAAUUGUAUUAGUUUGUGGUAAAGGACCAGAGAGAGCCCCAAGGGGGGAAGAGAUCAUAAACCAGACAUGGUGGGGGUUGGAAAUACUUGUAAAGAGAACAGAACCUGGCAUUGGGUCCCUUAGCACUGCUAGGAUUCGCAAAGAAUUUGGAGUAGGUAUCAUUUAGACCAAUUUUCAUAUCUAUUGGUCAGUGAUUUUUGUUCAAAAAAUAUCGAAGGUUUAGGUUUAGUCAAUCUUGUUAUCCAACUGGUAGCAUUUUCUGGAUGCUCCAAUUUAUACUAUGCAAACGGCCGGCAAGUGUUUGUGAGGAUCUUGAUAAGCAUAAUCGUGACUUCAGUAUGCCUCUUUUCAAUGUCAACUGUCGGAGCAAAUUCAGUAAAUAAAUAGUAAAAAGGAAGUUCAGUAUGGCUUCACGUAAUGGUAUUCCCAAAACGACUUGCAAACUUGGCUUUUGUGAAAAAUAUUUUCUAAUUCCUCCAACUGGCAUGCAUUUCAUUCUCUAAUUUAUACCGUGUGAUUUAAUUUAAUUUUUUCAUUUAAACCUAAGUCGAGAGGAUUUGUCUCCGCAUAACGUUUACAAGGCAAUUCUCCAAUGUCAGGCAGUACGACUAACAGAAAAGGAAAUUAGGUAUAUAUCUACUUUUUUCUCCAGUCUCUUUGCUUUGGUAUUUCUAUUCUUCCAGCUUAGAGCUAUUUGCACCAGCAGUAAGCGUAAAACCUUUUUUUAGCCACUUUGUUACAUUCUAGUUGGAGUUUCCUUUACGUAAGUAAGAAUAGUUUAGAAUAUCAUUUUGUCCAAACAUGGAAAAAAUGCAUACGAUACGAUACAACCAUGAAUCAUCAUGGACUCCAUUGUUUUCCUUUUGAAAUACUUCCCCCUUAUACUAAACAACUAUUAUACAAAAAAAAAAAAUUAACGCAUAAAUAGAAAGAACAAAAACUAAUUUACAAACAAUUACAAGUCGACUCUUUAUCCUUCACCAAUAUCAGAGUCCAAUUUCUGACUUACAAGUACGCCUCGAUCCCAAUUCUCAAAACACCUGUAAAUAUAGAGAUCAUGGCCAUAAAUCAUAUAACAUGAGAUCAAGAUCAGUAGAUACAAUCAACAGUACUAGUUAUUAAAUUACAUAACAUUUAACCGAGCUGCCUCGGACACGGCUUGUAGGCUUAACAAGCCUUGUUUUCGAGCUACUCAGUUUGUUUGCAACUUAUGUUAAGGUGAAAGCUCACAUUCUCUAGUAAGAAUGGAACAUUUGCAGAGGUAGAGGUGAGCCCUGUUUUGUAGUCGAAGAGGGGAGAAAAUAAGUCAUAGGAAAACACAAACCUUGUUCCAUCAACAUCGAUGCAAAUGAAGUGGCCAUGUCGCCAACCAUCUUGGAAAUGGCCAAAAAAUACAUCACCGGCUUUUGAAUAAAAACGACCUUCACCAUUGGCCUUUCCUUUCCAGAAGUUUGCAAACCAUCGGUCCCCAGUGUGAAAAUACAACCAACCCUAUAUAUGACCAUAGAAACAACCUAUUUCAGAAUGAUAUCAUCUACAGGACAGCAUCUACUUAUGGAGUUUUACUGUCAAGAUAAAUAAAACAGAUAUUACACGAAAUAAAUUACCUUGCCAUGCAUGACAUCAUCCCUCCAUGAUCCCUGGAACACAUCCCCAUUACUAAAGUAGAAUGUACCAAGACCUGAUCUUUUGCCAUAGCGCCACAUACCAUCAUAUAUGCUUCCAUCUCCAAGAAGCAAACGACCCUGUAGAAUUCUUUUCAGGAUUAGAAUUUAAAUCCUUUUGUACAGAUCAAAUCAUGACAUCCUCAAGAAUUUUGAUGUUCAGCUACUUUUUUAGUCUCAUUGAACAAUACCUUUCCUUCAGGAAGUCCACCUUGGCACCGUCCUUCGUAGAUUCCCCCUCUGUAUUGCAUCUCCACUACAGGACUCCACUUUUUUGGUGAAUCUCGUUCAGCUUCCUGUAUGUAGAAUAGGUAACAAAAACUAAAUCCUCAUGUUCUGGCAAGUAUAAGAAGUGGUCAAAUACAAUAUAGAGAAUAAACUUAGGGCCCGUUUGAUAACCAUUUAGUUUUUAGUUUUCAUUUUUUGUGCUAGAGUAUAGAGGAAAAUGAGAGUGAGAAUGAGAGUUAGGAUGAGAUUGAGAGAGAGGAUGAGAGAGGAGGAUAGGAGGGAUAAGUAACAAAAGUGAAAACAAUUUCAAAUAGAUUUCAGUUUUUACUUUCUGUUUUCACUUUUGUUACUCCUCCCUCCCAUCAUUCCCUCUCAUCUUCCCUCUCAAUCCCAUCUUCACUCUCAUUCUCAUUUCCAUUCUCCCUCUUUUUCCUCUAUACUCUAGCACAAAAAAUGAAAACUAAAAACUAAAAUUGAAAUGGUUAUCAAACAGGCCCUUAUAUUACAUAAUUUAUUACUAAGCAUGAGCAUCUUUUUUAUUACAAUAAGCAUGAACAUCUUUAAUGUGAAUAUUACUAAGCUUUGUUUUUCACAAACGGCUGAUUACCAGCAUAGAUGCAGCACGAACAGAGAGAUUUCCUUGCUUCUUAGGAUUAUCAGCAUCUUUUCCUUUUACAAGUGUUGAUGCUGUGUUAUAAAAUUCUUUGACUGCUUCAAGCCCUGUGUCAGUAAAUGAAUUCCAAGAAGACAUGCUUAAAUUGACAGCUGGUUGCGCUUUCACAUCAUUCUCAGUUUUUGUCUCUGGGUUUUGUGUUGGAAAUGAGAUAUUGACACUAUCUUUCAACUCUUCUGGAGGCCUUACACCGACUGGAAGGCAGAAGGUGCUCAGGUUAUCUAGUAUCACAGUAGCUCCAUCUUCAGCUGCCCUCUCUUUUGCCCAAUCCUUUGCAAGCUGAUAUCCUGGUCCCAAGUUCCAACUAACAAGUGGCUGUCUUUGAAAGGCAGGAAGUUCUUGGUAAUGCAUUUUAAGUUUUAACUAUGAUUAGUCAAAUGUAAGAACUUCAGGAAUGAAAAGUAAUGCCGAAUGCUUUGAAGGAUUACUAGGAUACCGGGCAGAGACUACUCUAUCAAACUGGAAACUAGUAAUUUAAAUUUUAAGGAUAAAAAAAAGUAAUAGUAGUGCUACCUUCAGUGAUUGGAUCAUAUGAACUAGAAGAGUCGGUAGCCUCGAACAUUCCAUCAUCAUUUUGUUCAGACCCCCUAUAAUUCCUCCAAAAACAAAAAAUUUAUGCAAGCUUUUAAGAUUAUGCAUAGCAGACAAAUCUUUAGGAGAACUAAAUUAAAAUAGAGAAACCAACAAACCUUGAAAAUUGGAAGUCGUCUGCCUGCGGUCCUUCAGAGUACUUAUCAAAACCUUCGGCUACAACAUCAACAGCAUUUCUAUUUCCCAUUUCACUAGAAUCUGGUGAAUCUAUCUCUUCAGAAAAGCGUGCAUUUUCAGGUGAUGGGUUUUUCUGAGUGUCAUUUGAUUGCCAUUGGUGUCUACUGAAAAGAUCAAAAAUGAAAGGAAAAUGCUGGGCUAGUCCAGAGAAUAUGCUACUUUUCUGAGAAGCCUGUUUCGGAGCAAAACUGGUAAUCGCAUAAAAUGUACAUUAGAAAGCUAAAAACAAGAUCCAUCAUGCAUCAGGAUAGGCAGAAAGCAAGUUGCAAAUACUACUGUUAAAUACUUAACAUAAGGCAGGAAGUAAAAAAGUUACCCUACAAUAAGAACCGUUGUGACUACCAGGUUGGGCUCUAGACUAGGUUCAUGAAUUGUAGAAAUUAAGAUUUCCCCCUCAUAUUCCAUACUUUGACGAAAAGUACGCAAAAUUGUUUGUACAUCACUGUUAUCGAUAGUGCCCGAACUUGCAAGGAUGCAUAUAAUCAUACCAUCCCAGUCCUAUGCAACAGAGAAAAAAGAAAAUUCAGAAAGCAGCAAAAGAUCAGAACAGUGGCAUAAAUUUAUAACCACACCACAUCCAUUUAGCUCAAUAAGGUCAUACCUUUACACCCACACUAAGGAAAGGACAGUCAUACAAAGAUCGUAAUAUUGAAGUUUCAAUAUUGUAACCACCACCAAAUCCAAUUUUUGCUUCUUUAUAUCCUUCCAGAAUCUGUACAUAGUUGCAUUAGCCUCACAAUAGGACCAGCAUUGGUAAGAGACAGAAAGGAAGAAAUAAAACUUGGGCAAGAGGAGACACAAAACAGAAAAAACUGUGCAAACAAAAACUAUUUAAUAAAGCUCAUAAUAACUUGCACAAAGGUGUAUGGUAUGAUUCAUGAACACUUACUUUAAUUACUUCUGAAACUUCGAUCAUUUUCACAUCAUCAUGGGAUGCAUCAAUAAGUUUUCUGUGUAUAUCCUAUAAGUGCACCAGCAAUAAACACGUCACAACCAGGCUACUGUUAACUUAGACAACCAAAUAGACAUUAAAGAACUAAACUUACAGAUGUUAAAACGGAUACAGCAGUUACUGCCAAUAAAACAGCAUUAUUUGCAGUCUUGACAGCUUCAUCUAAAGUUACCAAGUCCUUUUUCAGUAACAUGUCAGUGUCAAUGCCUGCAUUUGAAAAGAAACCACAUCAUGUGCAACUUUAUGGUUGAUGGGGAAAAGCAUUGACUAGAAAACUGGUUUAGGCAUUGCUGUAAUGCGGGGGACUUCAAAUCUUCAUCUAACAGAAAAUAUAACUUACAAAUAAAUAAAUUUGUAUGAUCCAGAAGUUUUUCCAUUAGAUCUUUCACCUGAAAAUUAGAUUAAUAGUUGCAAGAUUAGGCAUGGAUUCAAUCAGGAAGGCCUAUCGUGAAACUCUAAGUUUAGAUACAUCAUAGGAAAACUUCAAUGAAUAUUAUACCUCAGGUGAAUGGAUGUUGCAACAAAAAUUUGAAACAUAGUAAUUAAACAAGAUAAACAGACAUCUGCUAAUGCUUACAGGAGGACAUUAUACCACAUAGAGACUUUGACAAUGGGUUCUCAAGAGAGCCAAUUAUGAUACAUUCACACUUGGCUCCACUACUACUUCCAAGUUUUAUGACUUUUAUAGUUUAAACUUUUCCCGUAAGAUGCAUAGCAAAAUAAUUCAUUUUGUAAAACAUGCUACAUAUUUGAUAUUUAUUCGCUUCUCCAACUCAACAGGCAUCAUCAAAGCUCCUAAUCACACAGUACCUCAUCUUGGCGCCUCUGUCCUUCAAAGCUGAAAGGCUUCAUAAUAAUAGUGACCACAAAUCCAUUUGCAGAUCUUAUUUUUCUCAGAAUAUCAAUCGCUAUCAUGAGGUCCAAGCCAUAUCCUGCACUUGCCACCUAGAAAUAAAAGUAACAGAAAAAUUGGAUGCCAAUCAGUUUCAUAUAGGAAACAGAGUAACCUACAUUGUAGGGGAAUAUAAAGUAUGUUCCGCUACGUUUUGUAUCAUAACCCUUCUUAUCAAAGAAAUCAUUCAUCAAAUUAAGUGGCACCAAUAACUUCCAUAGAACAAUGAAGAGACCUGAAAGGGCUGAGAAAGACAAUGCUAGACAUAAAGAUAUACAAGAGGAAGCCAAAAAACAAGUAAUAGGUAAGAAAUGUACAAACAAGGAUAAUAGCCUUUGAACAUGACUUUAAAGACAAUGGGGCUUCAAAAUUCAUCGGAGUCGCAUCUGCAACAAUAACCAAAAAGAAAAACAAUAUAUCAUAUAAAGAGUCUAUACAUGACUUAGGAAAAGUAAGCGCGUUUUUGUACAUGUUUGCUACAAAUUAACAGAAAACACACUAGCAAAAGCACAUAUCAUGAAGAUUUAAAUAUACUUUGCAAUAAAGUGAGACAGUUACACCACAAUGCAGAGCAACUUCAGAAAAUAAUUUCUAGUAAAAAUUUUAGAUGACUAUCUGAAAGGAUAAGCGCUGAACCUUUUCCAAAGAUCCGUCGUUGUAACUGCACAAUCAAUGGAUCUUUGAUGAGAAUUUGCCUGCAAAAAAAGUCCAUUGUAUAUAACUAAAUUUCUUAUAAUUAUCUCGCACACAUACAUAUUUACAAUGGAUAAUCGGCAUACAUAAACAUCAAUAUACUAGACUUGCUUCAGCUUAAAGCAUUACAUUGCGGCAAAUUGUACAACGAAAUUAGCAACAUAAAAGCAUUCACCGUAACAAAAAAACAAUAGUGAGCUCACCAAAAUCGCAGACACGAAAACUGGAACGGCGAUUCGAGACAAAAAUCGAGAACGGCGUCCUUGCGACUGCCAAUACCGACCACUUCAACGAACUCGGAAUUUCCCCAAAAAUCGUCCCAAUUCAUUUCACAGUCCACAUCGACAGGUCCAUUGACGGCCGAACUCGCCCCUAUUCGAAGUGAAGACGGCUUCCGGCUGCAACUACUGCAGCUUAUAUAGUACUUUCUUCUGUAACUGAAGGAGCUUUUCUUGAAGAUAAAUCCACGGUUUGAAGAAUAAGGGCACAGAGGAACAGCAUAAGAUGAUCGGAAACUUAUGAAUGCGGGAAGCUCCAUUGCUGCUUAAAAGAAAUGUGAUGCCUACAAAACUCCCUCCACAGGAGUUGGUGGGUUCAAUGGCAGAUUGGGCGGGAGGGUUUUGAGGACGGAGAACUAGAACCUCAAAGAAUGACACUAGUUGUUUGAUUAUCGAUGGAGUGUAGCGAGUUCAGACUGUUCAGCUCGCUAACUAAAAAAUAUAAAACAAAAACAAAAUUGGUUACUUCCGCUUAGGCCAAGCCCGCAGGAAAAAUAUCCCAGCCCACUAUAAUUAAACCCACAACCCAACAACCCACCUCAACCACCCCUGUCUAAUUGAAGAUUGCUCUUUGCUACUAAACCGUGAUUGGAGUUGCAAGAUUUCUCGUAUUAACAGGGAGCAAAAUAGAAUUGUUGACCACCUUACUAAUUCAGGGUAUGAAUUACCUUUGGGGCUUCAUAAUUUUGAGUCAACUCCGGAUUCUAUUUCGAACAUCUUAUUGGAUGUUGUGCUAGGAAGGGCCCUUGAGAGGGCUGUGAUCUGUUAAUUUUUUUCUCCUUGUUUUGUCUUGGUUUCGACCCACUUGUAACAAAAAAUAAAUAAAAAAUAACACACCUCAAUCCACAAUUUUGAAUUUCGAUAUUUUAACUACUCUCUCUAAUGUGUUUUUUAAUAUUUUUUAUACAAGAGAUAUUGGAGAUGGGGGAAUCGCACGUAAUACCAUCUCUAGUCAUAAGGCUAAAUGUAGUCCAUGGCUAUAAUUUUAGCCCUCCAAAAUAUUAUUUUUUUUAAAAAUAGUGUAUGACUAAGGGUCUGUUCGGUAAUGUUUUAAGGGGUUGUUUUCAUUUUCAGAGAAUAAAAAUGAGUCAAAAACACGUUCGGUGGCUCAAAAACAUAAAACACUGAGAAUGUUUUCAUAAAAUGAAAACAAGUUCAUGUGUACUUGUAGAAAACAGAAAAAAGUUGUUUUAUUCUCAUGGGAAACGUUUUCAUAAAAAUAACUCACAUAUUAUUUUAAAUUGUACUACCAGACACGUUUUCAUUGUUUUUGUUUUCUGAAGAUGUUUUCUAAUUAAUCUACUAGACGCGUUUUCAUUUUCUCGUUUUCAUUCUAUGAAAACAUUCUCCGAAAAUGCUCUCUAAAAACAUUACUAGACGGGCCCUAAAUUUUUCCAUCUCCAAACAUGUAGGGCUAUAUUUGUCACAUCCUUUUUUUUUUUUUUUUUUUUGGGAGUGUGAGGUAAAAGAAAAACUAAAACUAAAAAUUUAAAUAUUAAGAAACAUGAAGAUUGAACAUAAACUUCUAUUUAAACCAAAAUACUUUACAUCGUAAUUUUACAAGCAAAAUAACAGGAAAGUAACAGACUUUUAACAAAACAUCCAAAACUUGUUCUUCUUGUUUCCUCGUCACAAACUAAAUUUCAGAUUCAAAACCUGCAAUAAAUUCAUUAAGGGGUGAGCACUACAUACUCAGUAGGGACCUAUGUCUUAUGUAAUUAGUGAGAUUUAUAAUGUACAAUUUAUGCAAGGUCUGAAAGAACUUCAAUUCUACCCAACCCGUUAAUCUAUAUAAUAUGGCAAGCAAAUCUGCAUGUCUCAUACCAUGCAUUUUACCACUGUGAUUCUGAAUGCCCCAUUAUAUAAACUAACACCCAUAUAAGUUAUCUCAUAAUUCCCCUUUUGCUAGUCAUCUUGUCUACACCAUUGAUCUCGAAGCCCAAAUCACCUGAUCGACAAUUAUGGGCUCGCCUAAACUUGGUUCCUACAAUGGUCAAACUCAAAUACACCAAAGAACCUUCCUAUUACCCUCUUUUUCAUAAUUUCUUUAUCAACCCAAGAAUUCCAACCACCACCGAUAACAUAUGAACAUAUCAAUAUUAAUCAAAUUAUAAUGAUAAUUGACAACAUGUAAACACCCAAUAUCAAGAAUAAUAAUCAAAUAAGAUUACCAAGCAUAAUAUAGUGUUCACAAUAUUUAAUUAAAUCAAUUUAUGUAAAGCUUCCCCAAGAAAAACCCCUCCCUUAAAUUCAAAGCUAUUGUAUAACUCCCAGUCGCAAGUCCAAACACUUUGAGCUUCUUCAAAAUCUCACCAUACUUUAAUUCUCACUCUUUCUUUCUUUGUCUACGAUUUUUAGGAAACUAAAGCAACUUGAAGAACCUAUGAUACAAGAAGUAUUUAGGUAGUACUAUUUAUAGGAAACUAAAGUCGGCAAAUAUAUAGAUGAAAGCUUAAUAUUGUGCUACAUAACUAGCCUAUAGGUUGCUAGACUACUUGGGUGGCUUGAAAAUAAUCUGCCACCCUAAAUAGCCUUAUGUGUUGGCUUUGUAGAGUGCUUAGUGAGCACUCUCCAGUUAAGAUUAUAUAUAUAUGAAUACCUAUUGUGCUUACACCUCCUACUUACAUAUCCCACCUCAUGCUCUAACUGGAUUUGAGGACUCUAUAUUUGCAAUACGUCAAUCUUUAACAAAUGCUUAGUAAGCAUAAAGGCCUUUCUAACAGCUUUUGUAAAGUGUAUGUAUAUAUAUAUAUAUAUAUAUAUAAUAAAUAUUAAAUAAUGCUGAAAUGAAUUGAUAUAGUUAAAGCCAUGCAAUAAAAUUUGAUAGGCUAUACUAGUUAAUAGCUAGAUUCACGUAGCUUGCCAUACAACUAAUAUAUAUUAUCAAUUAUAUAAUUUUGAAAACUAAUAAUUAUAAAUAUUUAAUUUUAUGAAAUAUUAAUAUACAUAUUUAAAAAUAUGGGGUUUCACUAUAUUUUAGGGCCCUCCAUAUUUUAUUAGUUUGAGAAAAAUUAUGGUACAACACUCAUACAUUUCAGUUCUAUGUAUUGUUUAAUUUAAUUAAACUACUAUUUAGAGACAAUAUUCUAUAUAUGACACGUGUACGUAGAUAAGUAUUUAACAAGAUUUCUGAUAAAUUUUUUGAAUGGAAUGAGUGUGGGAAGUAUUUGACCCAAAAAAAAGAAGUGGAAAGUUAUGAAUAAGUAGAAAAUGCGAUAGAAUUUGUAGGAAAUGUGGAAUGAAAUGAGUGAAAAAUUUGUUGAUUAAAUUUUGAGGUAUUUAUAGACAUAUCUUAGGUUUUUUAAAAUAUAAAAAUUAAAGAAAAGAAAGCCAACAAAGGCAAAACCAUUUUUUUUUAAUUAUAAGAAUUUUAUAUACAUUUAAAAUGUAAAAGAGAAAGGAAAAAAAAAAGUAACGCCUAGCUAACGUCAUCAUGCUUUUAAUAUCAGCCUUUGGAUAUGGAGUUGUACUAGAUGUUCUAUGCUCACACCCAUGCGUGAUGCUUUCUCUUAUUUGGCAGCAUAUGUGUUAGGCCCACACAAAAAAUUGAUAUGGGCUAUAACUGGACUACAAGUGGCUUAGUUAAAGGGCUAAAUGUGGCCAAUUUUUUUUAAGCCCAUGGAUGAAGAGUUUUGCAUUAAUUUAGGGCUACAUUUGGCCUAUGACCCAUGAUUGAAGAUUACCAAAGAGCUCAGAUGCAUAAGGGCUUGUUUUGGAGUGCUUCUAGAAGUGCUAAAAGCGCUUUCUGACAACCGAAAGCACUUCUGAUAGCGUUUGGCAAAAAAAUUUAGAAAUUCUUCUAGGUCAUAAAAGCGCUUUCUAAAGAAGCAUCUGCCAUGUGCUUUUUUAGGAAGCACUCCCAAGUGCUUUAUCAGGAAGUACUUCGAUUUUUGAUGAAAUUUUCAACAACUUUAUAAUAAAAACGCUUUCGUUAGAAGCGCUUAUGAACAGAAGUGCUUCCUAGAGAAACAGUCCCAAAUGAACUCUAAGUUAAUGCUCUUAACCUUGAAUACAAGGGACAAGACUGAACUAACUCACAUUUGAUUUUUUUUCUUUCCCCACUUUAAAGAUCCCCCUCUUCUGUUCUAUAUGAAUUUCAUGACCUUCUUCGUCAUAAUAUAUGCGUACGUCAUGAUGAUCACACAGUCCACUUGGAGCUCUGUGAUGGGUGGGGAUAUACAAUACACAAAUGCAAUGCCGGCCCGCCCCAUAGCAUAGCAGCAUGGCCACCCUACUAUAUAUAUAUAUAUAUAUAUAUAUAUAUAUAUGCUAAUUAAUAAUACUACAAACGUAAAUAUCAAAGAAACCCUCUUCAAAGUGACAUUCAAACAUUAAUUCUACUGACUUGACUUGGUAGUAAGUAAUAAUACACUCGAGGCUUCCCCGAAGUUAUUGCUAAUAUUUUGGACCACAUUUCUCUUUCAAUUCACAGUCAGUUUGAUUCUCUUUUUCAGCCCAAAUAGUGUUGCCCUAGAAUUUCUUCCCAUUUUUCUUUAUAAACAAAGGAAAAACAAAAAAAGGUUUUUUUUAAAAUAAAAAAGAAAUUAAGAGACACGUCACAUGGGCCCAAAGAAACUUAAAAAUGAAAAGAUUUUGGGCCUAAUGAUUCAAACCAGAAAGCCCUCAUAUAGGGGUCUCCCUUCCAAAUUCCCAAUAGGCAAUAAAGAGCCCUUAACAGUCUGACUGACUAGGAACUAAAAAAUGAUUUGAAAAGGAAGAAAUGCAUGGGAACGUAAAAAAAAAGUCUAAAAGAAAGAGAGCAAAAGCAAUCCGUAUAUGACAUGUUUGGUUGAAUGUUAGGGCAGAUGACAGAGGGACAUACAGACAGACACAGGGCAAAUUAGAGAAUAAAUUGAGUGUUAUAUAUAAAGUGAAAACGCCGCCGUUGUUGAAAAUCUCCAUCUUCUAAAAGAACCAUCGUCCUCGCGUUGCAACAUACUGCUCUGUUGUGUUGUCACUUAAUGGUCUCUGCAUAUCUCGUCUUUAUAUAUAUAUAUAUAUAUAUAUUAAUUAAAUCCUGCACCCUGUGUUUGGUUUUCUUCAAAUUCUUUGCUGCUUUUUGGAUAUGUCUUUUGUUUUGACAAAUUAUCUGAGUGUAACCGAAACUUGCUAUUAUAUUAUAUUAUAUUUCCAUUCUUAUUAGUCAUUUCGAUAUUUUCAAAUACAUUCUAAACAGUCUGUCCUAAACUCCUCUAGCAUUAAUGAGAGUUACUACAACCAAGACCUUCCUUAACGGCACAAAUACUUAAGGAGAUGGAAACAAGAGGUACAUAGUUGGAACUCUUGCAUAUGUGCACCAUUUAUUUCUAUCACGAGACUUAUAUUUUAUGAGAGAGACGGAUACAAGGGGUACAUGGAUAAGUUUUCCUUAGAGAGAUAGAAACAAAGAAUGCAUAUGCGUCGUGACAGGUAAGUUUUCAUCUAUAAACAGAAUCAGAGCGUAUUGCCACGCUACAAGAAUUAAGUUAUAAUUGUAAUUUGCAUGUUUAAUAAGCAAUAUAUUAAUUAAUAAACAACCUUUAUUCAAAUAAGAGGUGGCUAGAGCAGCUAAAUAAUAACAUAGCAAUCAGAUUUGAUAUUUGUUUUCUCAAUUUAGGCAUUGUUUUUUCCAUUUAGAAAUUGAGACACUGUAUAUCCACCAAGCAGAAACUCCCAUUAGAAUUUACAACUUAAUUAAUAUAUAUAUAUAUAUAUAUACAGCAGUACUACAAGUCUUCUCAGGUCCAAAUUUCAAUGUCAUCCACCCAAAAGUAAUGAAGAAUAUAUUUUUAGACCCUCAUCAUAUUAUCAAAAUGACACACUUGACAGUGAUAUGCGUAGUUAUAGUUAAGCUGUCAUUGUAUCAAAGAAUGACAGAUCUGCUGCAAGCGUUCUUGUAUAAGGAAAAGCCUUUAGCUGGCAUGGAACAAAAACUGUCAUUCCAAUUUCCAAAUAUUUGAGAGGGGAAAGAAGAAAAAGAAAAACUGUCCCAAUCAAGUAUUCCCAUUCCACAAAACAGCAAAGUUUCAUUCUAUUAUAUCACCUUCAAAAUCAGACAAGUUACUAAAUUGAAUAAAUCACUUUAAUUUAUAAUCACCUUGUCUUUUUUUUUUUUACUGUACAAUAUCUGUGGCUGAAAGUAAGCUGUGACCAAAUCAGAGUAAGAGUAUGAUAGGGUUAGCAAUUAAUAAUUAGUGAUGUAAAAUCUAAAAUAGAUUUUGCCGUGUAAUUGUUUAUCGAUAGUGGUUGGUUGGAUUAGGUCUUUUCUUAAUAAUUAUUGGGUCUUUUAAUUAUGUAAUUAUAAAAAGACUAAAAUGGCCUUUCAUAUUGGCCCCCCAGCCCCAGAUGCGUCUGCCAGUAGGAGAAUCAAUUUGCAUGUAACUGAAGCGGACCUAGUAGGCGCUGCUCUUUACAUGUCAGUGGGCAGAGAGAGCUCUCAAAUUAAUGGCAACCGCAUUCUGCUAGAGCUUAAGCUGGAUUUCAGCAAAACAGCCUCAUCUCAAACUACCUCAUAUCAGUGCUCUAAUAUACACGAAACUGACUCUGUAUAUAUAUAUUUAUAAUUUCUUCGUAAUUAUUUUCUUUCUGGGAUUGUUUUCUUCUGCGUUUCAAAUAUUAUUUAUUAUCCAAUUAUUUUUUAGAAAAAGAAAUUUAUAUAUAUUCAUCCUUUAGUGUUAGGUUUAGUUCCGUUUUCUAUUUUGCUGAAAUGUUUUAUUUUUACAGUGAGGUCCACUUGGGACAGGGAUGAUGGAGGAUAGUUUGUCUGGAUGUGAGUAAGAAGAUACGAAGACGAGAGAGAGAGAGAGAGAGAGAGAGAGAGAGAGAGAGAGAGAGAGAGAGAGAGAGAGGUAGCUGCUUCAUGCUCCUCUCACGCACCAUACCAUGUCGUUAUGUGGCUAUGGAUUGGGUCCACCGACCUGUAGGCCUCAACUCCUCUCUCUCUUCUCUCUAUCGAUUGAUUAUUUUCAUUUUGUAUUUUAUUUAAGGGAUGAAAAAAUUCAUAGAAAAUCUGGAGAAAAAAAAAAAGGGAACUGUGAAAAAGAUGCCAAUAAAUUUAAAAUAAAAGAAAAUAUGCUGUGUAUAUGUGUUACUGUAUGUGCAUGACACCAAAUCAUAAAACCAUAGCAACAUAUCACUUUGCUCAGAAAUUUUCAUUUAAAACAAGAGGAAAAAAAAAGGCAGAAGAGAGAAGCAUCAAAUGCUUAGCUAUGGAGUUGAUUCCUUUUUCUUUCUCUUCAGCUCCGCUUGGUUAAUCUAGUAGCUCGCAGCCAGCUUUCCUACUUUUCAUGUAUUUUUCUUUCUUUGUUUCUGAUCAGUACUCCAAAACCUCUCCUCUAUAUAUAUAUAUAUAUAUAUAUAUAUACAUCACUGGUUUUGAGAUAAGAUUUCAGGAGGACUCAAAUUGGUUGUGGGGUUGUGGUGGUUUCAGAUUGCUUUGUGAGGUAAAGGGAAGAAAGAGAAGCAGGGAAAAGAAGGAAAGGGUCGGAGAAUUAGAAAAGAAGAAGAUAUAAAUUAGAUAGAUGGCUGCGUCUUCUUCGUCGGUCGCACCGCUUUUCGGAAUUAGAGAAGAAGAUCAAAACCAGCAGAUGAAGCAGCAACAUUCCUCUACACCGCCAACCUCGUCCACAGCUGCAGCAGCUGCUCCACCUCAGAAGAAAAAGAGAAACCAACCUGGAACACCAAGCAAGUAUCCAACCAUUAAUUAAAAUUUUGUUUUCUUUUGUAGCUAGCAAGGAUCUAACAUAAAAGAAAAUUAAAUUAAUUUCUGAAUUCAUUCACUAGUGUUCCUUCUUCUUUUGUUUUCCCUUCGUCACAGAUAAGGAACCCUAAAUUGGGAGAGGAAUCAAUUGAAAUCGGAAAAAUACAGAGACACAUACAUAUACAUAUAUAUAUAUAUAUAUAUGUAUAAAAGUUUAUGAUUUAGUUGGAUUGAAAUGGGCACAUAAGUUUAUAAAUAAAGAUUGUCUUGUAGCAUAUAUGUAUGAUUUGUUGUUGUGAUUAAUAAAGAUAUGAAAUUUCUAAUUUGUUGUGGUUUGGCAUUUUUCAUGAGAACAGAUCCAGAAGCAGAAGUGAUAGCACUAUCUCCCAAGACCCUAAUGGCAACAAACAGGUUCAUAUGUGAGGUAUGCAACAAAGGCUUCCAAAGGGAGCAGAACCUACAGCUCCACAGAAGAGGACACAACCUGCCUUGGAAGCUCAAGCAGAAGACUACAAAAGAACCCAAACGCAAAGUCUACCUGUGCCCCGAGCCCACAUGCGUCCACCACGACCCCUCCCGAGCUCUCGGUGACCUCACCGGCAUCAAAAAGCACUUCUCUAGAAAGCACGGCGAGAAGAAAUGGAAGUGCGAGAAGUGCUCCAAGCGCUACGCCGUGCAGUCCGAUUGGAAGGCCCAUUCUAAGACUUGUGGAACUAGAGAAUACAGAUGUGACUGUGGCACUCUCUUCUCAAGGUAAUUAAAUUAAAUUAAAAAAAAAAUUUCUUUCGCUCUUUUUCUCAUUAAGCAAACAUCAUAUCCUUAGCCAAGCCAAGCUACUUCAUUUCAUGAGAGAGAUACGGUUUGGUUUAGGCUAUUAUAUUUUAGCUUCCUCAAGUCAUCGGUGACAAGAGAAGAAAAGGUUUUCACGCUUUUAGUAUGCGUUUCAUUUUCACCCUUGUCCUAUUGUAAUUCUUCUUCUCUUUCUCUUUUUUCUUUUUGUUUUUCUCCUGUCAAUGUUUUGAUUUUAAAAUUUCUUCGGGGGAAGGAAAUGGCAGAAAACAUGCUCCCACGUGAAUAAUCUGUGAGAAACUGCCAUGGUCGUAGUGGUUUCAGUUCUCUGGACAUAUAUAUAUAUAUACACAUACAUAUAUCCCCACUCCAGUCGGGACACCCAAAACCAUCUAAAAGAAAGAAAAAAAAUAGAGAGAGAAAGCUAGCCCCAUGGUGGUACUGGUACUUGAAUUUAUUUUUCUUUGUUUCACCUCGGAAACAACGCCCCGCUUCGGUCUUUAGUUUAGCCUUUCCGUAUUCACGUGUCGCUAUGCUGCCAUGUAAGAAAGAAGAGAAAGAGAGGGUGUUGCUCUCCUAUUAUGAGCUGCCCCAAUCUCAUCAUAACGCUUUUCUUUCUAGGGCGCUCUCUUCCCAAUUGACCAUCUUCUCUUCCUCUCCCUCUCUCUAAACUGGUUUUCAGUUUGGCUUUACUUCAUCAUGACCUUGCAGUUUGAAAGCUGUGGUCGAAAUUAAGGGUUUACAUAAUGGCACGCAAUUGGGUCAUUAAUUUAUUGGGUUGAGAGGAGAGGCCAGUAAUUGGGGGAAAUUGAGAGAUGGAUGGGGUUUUGGGAAUAAUUCUCAAGUGGAAAAAACAGACAAUUCAUCAUGGGUUUUGUAUUAACUGAGAGCAUAACUCCCCAAAUGGGUUUAUCGAUGGAUUACCUUUCAUCACUUGGAAUACAUUCUCAUGUCGCAUUGAUUGAUCUGCCAGUUCUUGAAAUGGUAUUUCUUGGUUGUUCAUUCAUUCAUUUCAUUCAACACUUACAUUUUACUUCUCUAUAUUUUCUUGAAAUGGUAUUUCUUGCUUGUUUUUGCUAUUUGUUUCAAUGUGGCAGAUUAUAUAGUGCGUGUAACUGUGUAUGUCAUUAAAUGCGUCAUCUCCUUCAACAUAUAAUCAUAUAUACAGUCGAAAUUAUUGCAUAAUUAAUUUUUGUUCACAUUAGGGUUUUGAUAUCUAUAUAUUUUCAUUUGUAUCCAUUUUUGGAAUUGCACGAGAUUAAUUUCAUUUGUCAACUAUGACUGCUUGUCGGUGUGAUUUAGAACAUCUAACGCGGCUAAUUACACCGCCCUAAUGCUGAAACAUUGCAAUCUCUUUAUACUACUGAAAAUGGGGUAACUCACUGAGUGAAUUAAUUGUAUAGAUUUUGGAUUUUAUCAACAAAAGUGGGGCCAAUUCCAUCUAUUUAGGGAAGUCAUUUCAUUUUACUUUCAUUCACUUUAGUAUAUUUCCGUACAUUUUCCAAGUUGAUGUGUAUGUGAUAAACAUGAACACUUUCUCUCCAGAAAAUAUAUAUUUAAACCUAGCUGGCUAGUGUACUGCUUUACUAUUUCCACGAAAUGAAUCUAAUGUGAGCUCUAUCCAAUUUUAAUAAUAUUUGGUACGUGCUGUAGGAGGGACAGUUUUAUCACGCACAGGGCCUUCUGCGAUGCACUGGCUCAGGAAAGUGCAAGGCAUCCGCCCAGUUUGAGCACCAUUGGCAGCAGCUUAUAUGGGGGCAGCCUCAGCAACACUGGCCUCGGCUUAUCUCAUCAAGUUGUGGGCCCACCUCAAAUUUCCUCACUUCAACAAGACCACAGUCAAUCCAGUACAGCUGCUGACAUCUUAAGACUUGGUGGUGCGGGUGGUGCUGGCGCUGCUCGGACCGGACAAUUCGAUCAUCUCCUGGGCUCAUCUUUUCGACCAGCUGCACAGUCCUCAGCAUCUUUCUUCUUGACUGCCGCUGAUCAGUCCACCCAACAACAAUACCAUGACCAGGAUCAGGACAAGUCAUUCCAGGGCCUCAUGCAAUUCUCUGAUAAUCAUCAUCAUCUUCAUCAGAACAACAACAACUCAAACAACCCACCUCAUCAUCACUCAGCAGGAGCCAAUCUGUUCAGCCUACCUUUCCUUUCCAACAACACCACCAAUACUACUAAUAAUAACAACAGUGCCACCAAUAACAAUUUACUAAUUAGUCCUGACCAUUUCAACACCAAUGUAAAUGGCACUACCACCGCUGCCGGAGGCAGUGAAGGUUCACAUAAUCUCUUCUCCGGUCACAUAGUGGGCGGUGAUCAUAUUAGCUCCGGGAUACCUUCUCUCUACAGCACUAAUAGUAAUAUUAAUAAUAAUAAUCAGCAGCAGCAGCACCAUGCAUCUAUGGCGCACAUGUCGGCAACCGCACUGCUUCAAAAGGCUGCUCAAAUGGGCUCCACCAAUUCAAGCAACAACACCACUGCCUCGCUGCUUCGGAGCUUCGGCAGCUCCUCCUCAGCCACUGCUAAAUCUGACAGGCCCGGGGCGCUGGUUCCUUCCAGCUUAGGUGGCAUGUUCGGAAGUGAUCAACAGGACCAGAGCCACCUGCAAGACCUAAUGAACUCGUUUGCUAAUACUGGUGGCUCAUCCAUUUUUGUAAAUGCGUCGUUUGGUGGCUACGAUGCUGCAACAGCAAAUAGGGCUAUUAAUAUGGAGGAGACAAAGUUGCAGCAGCAGAACAGUCUCGGGGUGAGCAAUAUUGGAGGGGCUGAUAGGUUAACAAGGGACUUUCUUGGGGUUGGACAGGUGGUGAGGAACAUGAGCGGAGGGUUUUCUCAUCAAAGAUCAGAGCACCAUAGUGAACAGCAGCAUGGAAUGGACAUGAGCUCAUUGGAUUCAGAAAGCAAUGCAGCAGCGCCGUCAAGCCAAUCUUUUGGAGGAGGUGGGAAUUUUCAGUGAGAACAACAUGAGCUGGAAAAAGUACAGAGAUGAGGGAGGUACGUGAAAAUUAGUGACGACUUUUGUAGAUUAAAAAUGAUUAUAUAUGAUUAAAGGAGUUAGUUUUCUUUGGUAAAUGUGUCCUAAGUUCACUGGCUUUCUGUACUUUUCUUUUUCUUUUCUUUUGGGUUGAAAAAACAAAAACAAUAAGAAAAGGAAAUUCUGACACAAUUUGUUGCAUGGUUACACAAAAUUGAGGCAGUCAUGAUCGAUGACCUGGAGUAGAAUUGGGUGUCUCGUCUUUUUGUUUUUAUAUAAACAUGAUACUUUCUUAACUUUUAUUUUGGCUGGCAGAGUCACGAGUGCUGCUGGACUUGUAAAGUGAGUGAGUCUGAUGAGAUAAAUAUCUUCUCACAAUAAAAGAUGCAUUUCCAACUUGUCUUGGAUUACAUAUUACACACUCACACACUCACACACUCACAUGCAUGAAUUAUUUAUUUACUUUAACCAUUUCAUUAUUGCUCGCCUUUUUACAUCUUUUUUUUAUACUUUUACUUUCUGUUCCCAACAUCUUUUACGUGAUGAUGAGAUUGACUUCUUUCUCAUGUAUCCGUUGAAUGUUUUCUUGGAAAAAUAACUGAACUUGUUUCAAUUACUAAUUUUGGGUUUGUUUGCAGGGAGUUAACUUUCCCUCGUACCAUAAUUUAUGCAUCAAGUUCUGGCUAAGCAAAUCCUGAACGCCAUGAAGUUUUCGCGAUGUCACACCAAGAGAAUUAGUGCAGAUUAAUUAAGGUUUCUUCAACCUGUAUAUUUUCCCUUUUUUUUUUUGUUUUGUUUUUGGUUGAGACCUCAAAAAGUGUUUUGGGAGGCCGGGGGUUAAUUUUCAAAGUCAAUCAAGGCUACAACUUUUUUCCUAGUUUAAAUUAAAUAUGACUAGUGGACUCUCUGUUUCUUGUUAAACUGAUGUUCCCUUUUAUGGAAAUCCAUAGGAUAGGAACUUUCGUAAUUAUUUUGACCACACAUGCAUGCAACCGUACCAUAAUCAAAGUUUCAAAGAGCCGUUACCAAGUAAGUUACACACUUACAAGGAUGAAUAAAAAAAGAUAAGAAAAACUUAAUGACUCAGAAAUUAUCCAGAAGAUGAUUGGUUUGGCAUUUCAAAAUAAUUAAUAUGCACUCCUCCUUUAUUUUAUUUUAUUUUUUAUCAUUUGCCUUGAUUUUGUUUUGCUAUAGUUGAAUUUUUACGAGGGAGGCUUUCUUUUGAAAAUAACAUGCUCAGUUAAGGAAUAAUUUCCAUAUCCAUGAAUAGGGAAAGAUAUCCCUUCCUGAACUGGCCAUUAGUUGCAUGCCAUGGACACUAUGCAUGAUCGUAUUAAAAAGUAUAUAUGUGCAUUUGCCUUGGCCAACAUUAUUACUGCACAAGUUAAACUGAAAAGACGACAAUAAUAUUGUUCGUAAUUUUCGUGCCUCCUAGAAAAGUCUAGAACACUGCCUUAGUAGUAGCCAAAGAUCAACAUAUUAGUGGGAUGGACGUGUGACUUGGGCAUACGUACAGAUUGUGAGGAAGAAACAUUAUACAUACAGAUUUUUAUAGAUAUAAACAAUAUUUUACUUUAAUAUAAUCUAAACUACGGUGAGGGAAAUUCGAACUUUGACAUAGAGUGGAGAGCAAAUCCGCUCUAGUCAACUUAGCUAAGCCCAUAUUAUAUAUAGACAUAUAGAUUAGUUACAGAUAACGUCUACCCUCUUAAUUAUUUAAUAUGCUACUUCAUAUAUAAUAGACGUAAAAUGCCAUUUAGUAUGCUACUUCAUAUAUAUUAGACGUACGUACAUAUAUAUACUUAUAUCUGGAGAGAGAGAGAGAGCAGAUGCAGUCAAUUUGUUUGUACUAAUAAAGAGACAAGUUUUGAAGCUUUAAACCCCACCCUCUCAAGGCCUCAACGGACGGGUCAAAAGAAAUAUAGAGACAAGACUGUAUUAUUUCUUUUUGUAUUCUACUACGACUUUGGAAUUUAUUUACAAGACACAUAUUCCACGGAACUUUGUUGACAUCUCGUCUUAUGCCAUUCUCAUUAGGUUGACUCUUUCAAGUCUUAAAUAUAUAUAUAUAUAUAUAUAUAGGUUCUUUCCAUUCCAAUUAAACGCCCAAAGUUGGGAAAGGGCCGGGAAUAAUUAUUUCUCCCUUGAUUUCUACCUCUCAUUUGAUUAUGAUGAAUGUACAAAUUUACUUUUUUUUUUUUAAAUUUUCUCAAGUAAUCCCAUGGAAAUUCUUACAUUCAUUUCAUUUAUUUAAAGGAUUACUGUUGGCCUGUUUGGUGUGAAAUAAACGAGAGAGGAAGAAGUCACGAGCCAUCUUUAAAAAAGUCUCUCUCCGAGAGUCUGUGAUUGUACUCUUCAAGUUUGAUGUCUACAAGUGGGUUUUUUAUUUUUUUUAUUUUUUAUUUUUGCUUUCGGGUAGGAUGUCUACAAGUGGUUAGCAUGGCCUAUGGCCCCACGUUUUAGACACAUCUUUCUAUCCAUUAAAGGGCCACCAUUUGGAAUUGAGGAUUUUGGAGAGAUUGUACAAGACAGACUACUCUUCGCUAUUUAUUUUUAUUUCAUGCUCCCUAUAAAAUAUAUUAUUAGUUUUUCCUUUUGCUAGCUACCAUUUUCACGGUUCAAUUUAAUCAUUUCUAAAAUAAUUUAAUGAGAAUUGAUGAACCAAUUUUAUUUUUUUUUCUUUUCUCAAAACACAAUUGUGUUUGGUUAAAAUAGGACUGAAAUUCAAAUUUUGAAGUGAGGAAAACAAAAAACAAAAAAACCAUCCACUGUUGGAGUCACGGGCUGAUGUGUACGAUUCCUUUUGAAGAUAGAAGAGACAACAAUUACGACAAUAGUAGACAGCCCCAUCAUCAUCGAUCAAUUUCUUAAUAAUUACAAUAAGGUUAACGGCAGCUAUAUACUACACUUGCAUAUUUCCUAUAUAUCAAUGUUUGUUUUGCCCUAGUCGACGGUAGUACAUAAUACUAUAUAUGAUAUAGGGAGCUGGUUUUCCCACUCUUAUUUUAUCUAUUUACAUUUUUUUUUGUAGAAAAUUGUACGUUUCCAUUCCUCUUUUAUUCACUUACAUUUUAAAAAAAGAGUAUAAAUAAAAAAUAUAUAUAUAUAUAUUAUAUGCUAAACCCAAUUGGUUACGGCCAGCAGAUACUCUUCAGUCCGGCCCUAAACCCAAUGGCAACACACAUGCAUUAUGCAUAUGAUGCUCCUCUAAAUUAAAAUUAUAAAUUAAUGCAGUCUAAAGUAAAAUAUCUAUCUAUAUCACCAGUAGCAUCAGUGAAGAAAGUUGAAUAUUAAACGUGACCGUGGACCUUGGUAAGGAAUUAGAAUGAAAAAGAAUUGUUGGAAAGCGCCAUGGAGGGCGGGACAAUUUAUUUAUUUAUUCAUUAAACUAAUUAAAUAUUGUCAAACCAAGCAUUGUUUUGUACUUAGUUUUAGCAGUGGCUAGUAGGGUUAGGUAUUAGGUAGCCGAACAAAUUCUUGUGCUUAUUUUUUAUAUGUGGGGUUCUGGGUUCGGGGUUGGGCGUAGAUAAUUCGUCCCCCGGCCUGACCCUCUCUCUCUCUCUCUCUCGUGCUUAUGAAUUAAAUAGUUGAUAUGAUUUCUUUGUUCUUGAUGCAUGGCAAUAUUAAAUUAUUGAUUACGGAUAUCUCGUAACCAGACAAACAAGAAAAUAAAUUCUCACUUGUCCAUUAUGUUGGAAUGUAUCCAUUUUUAAGAUUCUGCACAAACAGUACUGGCUCAGCUGCUAGCGCCCAUGUCUGCUGCUGUGACAUUCUGAUUCUGUAUAUAUAUAUACAUGCAUACUCAACAUGGCUUACCUCACACAUUAGUUAAUUCAAAGUUUAAUUACGGGACAUCGAUCUCAUUACUAAUAUUAAUUUAGAUAUUUUUCCUUUGAUUAUUUCAAAAUUAAGUACCAUCAGGAGAGAAAGAGAGAGAGAGAGAGAGAGAGAGAGAGAGAGAGAGAGAGAUGAUAUUUAUCCUUUAUCUUCAAAUAUCUACGCAACGCAAGAAAGAUACCACACAUGUGGUACAGGGAGAUAUAUAAAUAGCUGAAAGUACUGGAUAUAUCAAUUAGUGUAAGCCUUAAGGCAUGCACAUGUAGAAAUUAAAUCAAUGAAACCCUAAUGCGUGGGGGUCAAGACAACUAGUUCAUAAUUAAACGUCCUUUUUUCCGUACAUAUAUUAAACAGGAACUGUCAUCCAUAUGAACUUAAUUGGAAUCCUUCGAUGUAGCUAGCUUUCACCUCAUCAUCACAACUGUACGCAUGCUCAUUGCAUUGCAGUGCCUCCAAAGGGUUGACGUGUCUGCGCUGACUUCAAAUCUGGGUCUAAAGUGCCGAUCAUAUUUAUGCCAUGAUGUUGCUGAUGAUGAUCUCGUUGUGAGUAUCCAUGGCCACCACUCAUGUUUUGUACCAUCCCUCCAACUCCCAGAAAAUCCAAGGUCAAUUUAUCAGACCCUCCAAAAUUUACACCCAAAUUUUGAUGCAACUUAGCCUCAUCAUAAUUUGUGUUAUUAUGCUGUUGAUCCAUUGCAUUAACCCUAGUACCAGUACUGCCACUACUAAACCCACCAAAGCUGUUAUGAUCCUGUCCAUGCACUCCUCCACCUCCAAAAACAGAAGAGGCCCCACUGGCAAGAGAGUUCAUCAAACCUUGAAGAUGGUUUUCAUUGUCCACCUGCUGUGAUGAUCUUAAGUGUUGCUGUUCGCCACCACUGUGAUGAUCGCCACUAAAACUGACACCAACGGUAGAGGGUGCCGCAACUAGUUGCCUACCGGAUUUAGCUGCUCUUGUUGAUGAAUUGCCUAACCCUCGUAGCAGAGACGAGCUUUCGGUGCUUGUAGUUGAACCCAUUUGGGCAGCUUUCUGAAGCAAAGCAGUGGCAGACAUAUGUGAAGCAAUGUUGCUUUCAUGUUGCAUGGAAUUCCCAUAGAGAGAUGGUAGAGUAGCCGACCCCAUAGUGUGAUGAUCACCAGCACCCAUGCUAAACCCUUGGCCACCGCCAUUGCCAUCACUAAACUGAUGAUCAGGUGGAGUCAAGCUGCUGCUGGUACUGUUGUUAGAAAAGAAGCUCAGGUUGAAGAGAUUUGCAGCACUAGUUGAUGAGGGUGAGUUGUUGUUGUUACCGUUGCUUUGGAGAUCAGGAAGUUGCAUUAGCCCAUGCAAUGCUGCCUUGCUGGGAAAUUGGUGCUGAUCCUGAAAGCCUUGCUGGUUAGCAAUAUCCCUCAUGAAGAAAUUGGAGGAAUUAGGCAUGGCUUGUGAUCCGAAGGAAGAAGGAUUUGAUGGUGUGAUUAGAUGCUCAUAUUUUGCACCACCAGCAUUUCCUAACCUCAACAUGUUGUUGGGCAGGUGGGUCUGAUUUUGAAGUGAGGGAAUUUGGGAUAGGCCUAAGCUCAUGUGGUUGUUUCCAUAUAGUUGACCACCCAUGGUGUUUAAGCUUGAAGGAUGCCUUGCACUCUCCUGAGCCAGUGCAUCGCAGAAUGCCCUAUGCGUGAUAAAGCUGUCGCGCCUAUAUAUCACAAAGAAAUGAAAAGAAAAGCUGAGCCAGUGCACCUCAUCUCAUGUGUGUACAUAUAUAAGAUGUUUACAAGGGAAGAACAAGACAUCAUAUAUGUGGGGAUAAAAACAAUAAUCAUUCUUACCCGUUUUAGUUAAAAUUAUGCAUAAACGGCAAAAGGAUUUACCCCAGAGUUGAAUUUCUGUUUUUUUUAUUGAUUUUAAUUGCUAUUUUUCAACCUAGUGUGUUUGAAAGUCAACUGAAUUGAUCUCCCCUCCCAUGAAAACAAAACAAUGCUUACACACGAGAUCAAUAGUGCCAAAAAAAUAAAAUCCCAAACUACUACGUACAUGAAAAUAAUUGAGACCGUAAACGCUGCAUGUAAUGUAAUACUAAAUUUUGUUUAUAAAGAAAGGAAAAGAGCAAACAAAAUUUCACUAGAACCGGAAAAGGGGAAACCAAUGAGAUUCCUAUUAGUCAUAAUGGUUUCUCUCUUCACUCAAGAAAUAGGAAAGAAGUACAGUGUUAGUUGAAUUUUUUUUUUUCUCCUCCAAUAAAUGCGAAACCCUUGAACGGUCAUUUGUUUUAUUAAUUUCCACAGAGAAUAUUUCCAUAACCAAGAUAGACAGACCCAAAUUCACAAACCUCAUCACCCUAAUCAUUGAACACUCUACCACUCUGACUUCUAAAUUUUCAAAAACUGUCAAGCUUUUUGCUAGGUAGAAAAAUGUGGUGUUGGACCAGUACCCAGAGAGAGAGAGAGAGAGAGAGAGAGAGAGCAUCUUUGGUCCCAUGAGAGAUGAGAGCAUACGUUUUAAUUUCAUGGGAAGGAGUACCAGGAAGAGGAGCAGAGCAGAGCUGUAGCUCUGAUCUGAAUAGAUGAAGCCAGCCCAGAAGAGAACAAAAACUCAUGAGUGACAUAUAUAUAUCUCCAAAUCAUUAUAAGACAAGAAAACUAAAGCAAGCUCAAGCUCCAAUAGUCCAGUGCAGUAACCAUUAAUAUUAUGCUUCCCUUCCCUUCCAUAUGUAUCUUGUGUAUGUAUGGUACUGUAUCUCCACACGUGAGUGGGGCAAAACAUAUAUAUAUAUAUAUGGUGCCAAGGUCACCCAAAGGCGCUGUUUUCGAGGAUCCAUCCAUACAUAAUCAAGAUAAGCUAAAUUUCUUGUUUUUCCUCUCUCUCUCUCUCUCUCUCUCUCUCUCUCUCUCUCUCGCUCAUAAAAUUUGAUUUUCAUUUUGAAACCCGUAUAUAUAUGGUAGAGUAGACAUUGCCAGUUUCACACAGAUUACUCACGUGUAAACAGUCCUGCCAUAUCAACCCAGACACGGACACACUCACUCUCUCGCAGAAAGACCCAAAAAAGAAAAAGUUAAUUUGUUUAACUUCAUCAUUUUCCUUUUAUUUAAUUUUUCAAUUUUUGAGAGCAUCUCUCAAAUUAAUGAACGAAUUAAUGGAUGAAUGAAUGAAUGAAUGAAAAUACCUUGAGAAGAGAGUGCCACAAUCGCAUCUGUAUUCCCUAGUGCCGCAAGUCUUAGAAUGGGCCUUCCAAUCCGAUUGCACGGCGUACCUCUUGGAGCACUUCUCGCACUUCCAUUUCUUCUCGCCAUGUUUUCUAGAGAAGUGUUUUUUGAUGCCGGUGAGGUCACCGAGAGCUCGAGAGGGGUCAUGGUGGACGCAUGUGGGUUCGGGGCACAGGUAGACCUUGCGUCUGGGUUCUUUUGUAGUCUUCUGCUUGAGCUUCCACGGCAGGUUGUGUCCUCUUCUGUGGAGCUGUAGGUUUUGCUCCCUUUGGAACCCUUUGUUGCACACCUCACAUAUGAACCUGUUUGUUGCCAUUAGCGUCUUGGGAGAUAGUGCGAUGACCUCUGCAUCUGGAUCUGUUAUCAAAAUUAAUGCCAAAACCAAAUUAACAAAUUUUCUUUUAACUUGUUUCGGUUCAACUCCAGAAUUACGGAAAGAAAAGAGCUGGAAGACAAUGAUUUCGAAGGACAAAAAUUAAUAAUUGAGAGCCAAACGGAGGAAACACAAAUCCAUUUCAUCACACCAAAGAAUCAGUACAUAAAUUUAGGGUUUCUUUUCUGAAAUUUGUCAACUGAUUAAAAAAAGUAGAUACAAAAGAAUUGAUGUAAUUAUAUAAAGAGAUAUUUACUUGGAUUUCCAGGUUGAUUUCUCCUUUUCUUUUGAGGGGGUGGGGCUGCGGCUGCGGCUGCGGCUGUAGUAUUAGAGGAAGGCGUUGCGGAGGAAUGCUGUUGUAGCGUGGACGUCAUCUGGCUUUGGGUUUCUUCUCUGCUACUAGUGCUUCCGAAAAACGGUAUUGACGAAGAAGCAGCCGCCAUGUAUAUACGGUGAAGAAAACAAGUAAUAUUCUUAAUUCAACACCGAUCUUGUUUCGAGCAACUCAAAGAAAAUUUGUGAAGUGAUAGCUACAAUAAAGUAGAACACUCUAGACAUACAAACCUAGCAAGCUAAGUAAAAUAAAAGUUGCGAGUCCAAGGUCCCUUAAUUGCUAGGCAGGUAGGUAGCUUGAGAAAUACGACCCACAAAUACAAAUCAAGGGAGGAAAGAAAUUAGUAAGUAUCUGCGGGUGGGGGGAAAGGGAGGGGGCGACAACUAAAAUCCGGAAAUGAUGAAGAUAGAGAGAAGAACCAGAGUCAAUCCGGAAUAUAUGUGCAGGCCAGCUUCUUCUUGCUCUCUUAGCUAUCUAUGUAUCAAUCUAUCUUGUUUUUAAAAUGAAUAAAAACGGAUCUGCUAAAACGCUCUUAUUGUUCCUCUCUCAAUCAUUUCAUGUCAUGUACAUACACAACACACAUACAUACAUGUCCUAGCUAGCUAGCUACGCAUCUCUCUCUCUCUCUCUCUCUCUCUCUCUCUCUCUCUCUCUCUCUCUCUCCCUUGUUUUUUGUGUUUUGAUUUUGCUCGUCCUUUUCUCACUGUAAAUUAAAAUAAUUACAGAUAUUAAAAAAGAAAAGAAAAAUAUCGAAUGGAGAGAGAGAGAGAGAGAGAGAGAGAGAGAGGAGGGAAGCUGGGGUCGCUGUUCAUGCAGCUCACGCAGCCUAAUGUGUGUCGUUAUGCGGCGAUUGUAAGUGGGGCCAGCUUUGCUCACUCUCAAAGCUGAAGGGUGAAGAGUGUAGGGUGUAGGUCUUACCCUCUCCCCAUCUCUCUCCUUCUCUUAUUUCGUAUCUUCUACCUUCGCAUCCAGACAACCCUCUCUUUCGUCACUCUGCGCCCAUCAUAUAUGCUCUCUCUCUCUCUCUCUCUCUCUCUCUCUCUCUCUACGUUGUAACUGUGCAAUACAAAUGCUUGACACCUUUCAACAUUGAUGCCAUGUUUCUUCAUAUGGUUGAUCAGACGGUCAACAUGAUUAUCUUAAUAUUAUGUGUGUCCUAGCUAGCAUACUUUAAUCAUACAUGUCCUAAACCCUAUGUCCACAUCGUUUUUAAACAGACUAUGUACUCAGGACUCAUCUUAAUAUUGUUUCUUAUUAAUAUUUAGGGUAAUUAAGAACGUGUAAAAUUAUGUAAAAUUUGUUAGGUUAGAGCUAUUUUCUUUGUUAGAGAAAUCUGAAUAGCUAGCAAAAAGAAAGAACAGUAUUACAUCUGGCUAUAGCAGCAGUAAAAGUUUAGCUGGAAGAGGACACUUUAUGAGGCGGAUUCUUACAGAGAUGUACGGACCUAGGUCAGUCUAGGGAAUUUUCUUGAUUAUUAAGUGACGUUCCACACGGGUUAAUGAAGUACUUGCAAGUUGCAUGUGUCUAUGUCUCUCACAACCGAUUUCAAUUAAUUUAUACCAUGAAAAGACUUUCUUCCGUAGAGGAAGGUGAUCGAUCCAUCUCUGCAAAUAAUUGAAUAAUACUGAAUAAUAUCUUCCCCCACUGUCUUAAAACGUGAAGAAAUAUACUUGAACUAGCAAAGCAGCCACUCAAAAGUGGAACUCUUGUGACUCUACUUUGUUGUGUUCUAAAAAUUAUAUUCCACUCAUUAUUAUUAUUAUUUUUAAUACAUGCAAUAGUAUAAACUAGAAGAGGAUGUGAGUUUCUCACACACACAUAGAUUACCACGGUGUCAUGGGAGUUCGAACAUGAGACCACUGACUAAUCUGUAAGUAAGUUAAUGCCCUAUUUUUACUGAAUUGCAAAUUAAAGCUCUUUUUCACUGAUCUGGGAUAGUCUAAUGAUAUUAUACUAGUUAUUUAUUGAAUAUUGUUAAGGACAGAUUUGGAUAUCCAUAGCUUCUAUAAAAAGCCCUUUUCCCCCCUUUCUUAUAAAAGAGCAAACAUACAUAAUUAAUGCAUGUAUAGCUAGCUAGCAUCUGUUGUUGGGUUUCAAAAUUUGACACACUUACGUACAUGUGUUCGAAUUGAAAUUGGGGAAUAUGGGGGGAAAAGGUUAAAGCUGCAGAAAUGCUUCAACGAACGCUUUUCUCUUAGUUUGGUCGCUUGCAUUUUGAUUUGAGAGUAGAAUUGUUGGUACCUGCAUGCAGAGGAAGCUUCAUUCAGUUGCCUUACCCAUCUACAAAAGGUGGCCGUCUUUUUUUUCUUUUUCUUCCUUGACAACAUGUUUCUGGGGGAAAUAGACAAUCUUUGUUGGGUUGUGGAGCUAUAGAGAGCCAAAUUCUUUGGUUAUUUCCUCUGUCAACUUCAGUGCACGACUUUGCUAGCUAUAGUCGUGUAAUAUAUAAUAUCAAACCUCUUUAUUCCCUUUAUGCAAUAAUGUACAUGUUGAAAAAUACACAUGCAUAGGACCGGAAGAAUACAUCCAACAACACAAUAUUAUCUAAAAAUUGAUGAAGGAAAGAAAAAGGCAAACUUCCUCAGGAGGAGUGAGUCAGGGGAGGGGGUGCUGCUGCUGUCCUUAAGAGGCCCUUUUAGGAUGCAUAGCAUAGCAUCGCACAGUAGGACCCACAUCUCUUAGACAUGGUGGGCCUGGGGCCACCAUGAAAUUGGAAGGAAGGGACAUGAUUUGCUUGGGUCAAAAAAUGUGCCAUUCUUGGUCAAGUUAGGAGGGAUCGUCCCAGGUCAUUUCUGGUCAAAUUGAUUCUUGUGUAACCACUAAAUCCAGCUAUAUAUAUAUAUUUGUGGACUCCCCCAUCCAUGAAUAAAUAAAAGACUAGCACUAGUGGCCGUUGAUAAUUUGUCACCACCUAAUUAUUAUACACAUAAUAAUAAUAAUAAAAAUACAUGUAGCUGAUGCCUUGUCUGGUAUGGGCAAUCAUGGACAUAGAACCAUAUAUACGUUGUGGAGAGAGAAUUUUACUUAACAAUUAUUCGUUGGUUGAACUGAUUUUAAGGUUUGAUCUUGUGAUGUAUUCGAAUUUCCAGGAUUUUGCUGCAGCCUGCAGGGCUUGGUUUGGCUGUGUCUUAUAUUAAAGUCAUCACCCCAAAUGGAUCAAACCCCAGAAGAAGCAGUUGAAUUGGUUAGUCAUUGUAUGAAUAUGCCUAUUCCAUUGUAUAGAUACACGUGGUUGGAAACUAGAAUUAUCAACUCCCUUGAGGUUUAGCUCCUCCUUUGGCUUUGCCUCCAGUUCACAGAAUAAAAAACAAAAAAAUUCCAUUGAAAAUUCGACAGUGAAGAUCACUUACCCAAUGGCUGCCUGACGGGUUCCAGGUUUUGUUCUAGUUCUACUCUGACUUUGGUAUAUCAAUCUUAUUUUAUUUUCCGAUAAAAAAAACAAACUGCGUGCGACAUUUUCAAAAUUUUCCACACGGUGUUUCCUCAGUGAAUUUAAAAUCAAAUACUUUCCACACGGUUUGGCUUUCUUUAUCAAACCGAAAGUCCCGUGAGACACAUUCUCUACGUUAGCGUCUUGUCAAGUUUCAGAUUACGUCUAAUAUAUAUAUAUAUUUUUUUGUUCUUCUUAAAGAAAUAAUAUGCGUCGGUAGCAACUUCAUUUAGGAUAUUAUGUAUUGCUGUAUUCACAUGAUCAUACAAUUUGUUAGAACUUAGAAGGACAACAGUCCACAACAAAUUCUGUAUAAUCAACAAAAUGACAACAACCCACAUUCCAAAUUAUUAAUAUAAAAUCCAGCUUUCAAUAUCAUAAGCAGUGUAUGAUCUUAUUUAAUACAUAGUCAUGUUUAAAAAAGUAUAGUUGCAAUAAAAUAAAGCUAAACCAGAUUUUCCUUUGAUUGUCAUCAUGACUCAUAAUGCAUAUUCUUCUUCACUCAAAAUUAAUAUUCAAUUAUAUAUGUAUUAGAAAAAUUAAUAUUCAAUUUUCCAUGUCAAUUCUCUAUGGGGUCCAAAUUCUGCGUAAUCUUCAUAUGGAUGCACUCCACCACUCCAAACAUCUCUUGAUUAAUUUUUAUAACGGAUAAAAAUAAUAAUUGAAAAUUUGUAAAACAUGGGAGCCAAUUGAAAUUUCAUGUUAUUAACAGUAUCUGCAAAUUGCAAUGGUCACCUCAUUAAAUAAAUUUUAGGGUACUCCAAUCAUGCUCCUUAUCUACCUUUUAAAAUAGGGAGGCUUCUAGCAUCUCAUAAAUUUGAGGAGACAAAAAGGACUCUUAGUGGUUCUAUAUAAUAUAAUGUUGCUUUGUUUAAUGCAUAUUUUAAAUUUUUAAUUAAUGUUAACUAAUUUUUUAUUAUAUAUUUUUUAUAGCAAUGAACCAAUCAUAUUGAAUUUAAAAAUAAUUAUAGCAUUUAUGACUCUCUAAAAUAAAUUUUCUGUGUUUUUAGUUAAAUUUAAACUUAAAAAUAAGGAACAUGAUUAUAGCAAAAAUAGAUAAAUAGAGAGAGGGAACAAAUUAAUGAAUCGUGGUGGGUCAUGUCUAUCUUUAAAGAAGGAAUUUUUGCGGUUUGUGGGGAUUGCCGGUGGCCUACGGCGGUAGAGUGACAUGAAAGUGAUGAAGUUGACGAACCCUGUAGGGCCAGUGUGCCACAAGGAAACAGGCCCAUCCACGGGCCCACAGAAAACCACAGCCCUUCUUCUUCUUCCUCCUCUUUCUUGUUAUUGCUAGACAAAUAGCUAGAGACUGCAAGUAGUAGCAGAGCAGUACUGCUUUGGUUUGCAAGUCUUCUUCUUGGAAGGAGCUGUGGUGGGUCCCAGCCGUACCGUGAGGAAUCGUUGCCGGCAUAUACAUCAUGUAUAUGGACAGCAUAUAAGACAGGCACCUCCCCUCCCCUCCCCUCCCCAUGCCGAUGCCCUCCUCCCUCCUCCCUCCUCCCUCCUUCAUCCAAUUCCAAUCAAUAUUCCUUUCCUACUAGGUUAUCACAACUCCUCAUCCUAACAUGUGUUACUGUUAUUUAAUAAUAAUAAAUAUGAUAAAAAAGCUGCUUUAAUUGUUUCCUAAAUUAUAUUAUAAUACAAGUCCCUUUAUCUUUCUUCUUAAUUAACUUGGUAGUAAAGAUAAACAUUUACCGCAAGCAAUUAAUAUAAAACGUUGAGAGAUUGAUCUGAAUCUGAUCAUCAAUGGACGGACCAUAUGUAUCAUGCAUGGUAAUUAAGUGAGAUUAGGGUAAUAGGGUGUGUGAUAAUAUUAUAUAUAUAUAUGGGAUUUGACCUAAUUAUGAGUCUUUGAAUCUUAUAUGUAUGACCACAGUAUCUGUAGGUAACGUAGUGUAUAAAAAAUCACAAGUUUAUUUGUUGUGUAUACAGAAACAUAUGCAUGGCAAAUCCAAAUCCAAAUUGGCAAAAGGCCUGAAAAUUAUAAUAGCGAGGCGAGAAAGUGGGACGAUCGAGAUGGACAAGACAGAGGAACAUGUGAUUUGCCUGGUUGAUGCAUGUGAGUGAUGGUGACAAGGGGGAGGACACGUGGUGAGGGGUCAUGUGUGGGUCCUAUUCCUUUGUGGCUUUCUUUUGGAUGGAGCAUAAAGUAGAGACAUGCUGUGACUGCUACUAGUGGUACAACAAUUUACAAAGGGGUGGAGGGAGGGAAAGGGGCCUGCACUGCACUGCAUGCCCUAGCUACCUCUCUCUCUCUCUCUCUCUCUCUCUCUCUCUCUCUCUCUCUAUAUAUAUAUAUGAAUUAAAGGUCGGUAGCUUGGGUGCUUGCUUGUAAGUUGUAAUGUAACAUGCAUGUUUAAACAGUAUUAAUACUGUAAAGGGCAAGAUAACAAAAAUCCAAUUUAUUCUUUGUAGGGCUGGAAGGAGUACAGCCAGCCAGGAGUGCUGUGGUGGUAAACUUCCUUGGAGCUAGAAAAGGGGAAUUCACGGGCUACAACUACCACUUGCAAAAGGGAAGGGACCAAAGCAAAGAUUCACCUGCGCAGAGAGAGAGAGAGAGAGAGAGAGAGAGAGAGAGAGCGAGAGCAUUGUGUGUGUGUGUUUUUUUUAUGGAUGCAAUGCAACAAUUAGUAUCUCGUAAAGGAAUUUUCAUAUCAAAAUGACAUACCAACUAACAACUUUUGCUGCCUUCCUCUUACUUUCCUUUCAUUGUCCACACUCUCAAAUCACUCACUCUCAAUUAUACAAAUAUUAUACAUGUCUUUUAACUUUUAACAUAAUCCACUAAGAGUACUACUCUUCGUCUAGUCCUUAAUUUACAACCAACCAACUUAAUUUGUCACAUUGCUUAAUGUACUGUAUGUUUUUCUUUAUUUCUUUCAUUCUACCCAAUAAUUUAACGUACUCUCUCUCUCUCUCUCUCUCUCUCUCUCUCUCUCUCUCUCUCUUUGUAAUUAACUUAACAUAAGUCAUUAAUAUCUAUUUACUCUUUAGAGGAGGAGGUCAUUUUAAUUAAGUUAAUUAGGGUGAUAAGUGUGACAUGCAGAUGCAGUGGAGCGUUCAUAUGUCAUGUCUGCCUGCCUGCCUGCUUGCUGUCAUUCAUUCAUUCAUGCAGCUGGUUCAACUCAAUAAUCACGUUAAACUAAAGUCCCAAACCUUCUCAAUUACAAAUAAGAUUAGAAUAAAUUGAGUUCGGACAUAUACAGUUGGAUUGACUCAAGUUAUAAAUUUCAUGUAACAUCCCGACCCAAAAUAUAUUUAUCCGUUAAUUUAACUAAUUUAAUAAAAUUUGAAAUUCCAAUUUUGCCAUCGGGGGUAGGGGUAUUAUAGUCAUUUUUUAAUCUGGAAGGAUAUGGGGGAAAUGACUGGUACCAUUAUGUAGAUCGUGCCGAGGUGAGUCAAUAGACACGUAGUGGACUUGAAUCAGAGUUGUAACGAAGUAGUUACGAUCAAAACAAACGAGUUGCAUAAGCGUAAAUAAUUCAAAAAUGGUUAAUAAAAACCUGAAAAUCUCUCCUCCCCCCCCCCCCCCUCCCCCCCGGCGCGCAGAACCCCUUACCUCGAUUUUUUUUAAAAGAACCAGUGGCUCUUUGAGCCACCACAGGCCACAGUUGGCCACGGGACCGGACCCAAAUUGACCAGCUCCGCUCCCUCUUCCAACCCCACCCCUUCUUAGCACCGAUCCGCCGCUCGUGUAGCCGAAAAUUGCAGAAAAACGUCCGAAUUUUUAUCCAAAAUUUUCGUAGCUCGUUCAAAUGAUUCCAGCAACCAAAUCGUGAGAACCAGGUAUGCUUUUCCAUCAUCUCAAUGUGCUCUAGCUGCUGGUUGGGUUAUUUAGGAUCAAUUUUUGCGUUUUGGUUGUCAUUUAAGCGAUAGAAGUUUUGGCCGAUUUUGGCCCUUGAUUCCGGCCCCUCCAGCCACUUUUUGGGGUUGGUCCAAAACAAAAGUUGCUCCACCCAAUGUCCUGAUCAUGUAGGUAUAAGUCUUUACCGGCGGUUUAGAGAUUUUCCGAUUGCCGGAAUCGCUUUGGACACCCACGUGCAGCCAGCGAGUGAGGCGGCUCGUGGGCAUUGUUUUGGUGUCCCUCUUGUUUCUAAAAUAAUCCUCAUGUCAUCCCGAGCACGACGGUAUACUCGGAUUUGAAUUUGGUUAUUAUUUGACCGUCGAUCGGAUAUCGCAUAUUAGACGUUAUCCGGGUUCGACAUGUUCAGACCGUUGGAUCGACUCCAAUUUAAUAUAUGUUGAUUUAGGCAUCCCUAGGAUUGUGUAGGAUUUCACGGAUCGUGAAUCGGAGCCCCGGAUGUUCCGAUUCAAUAACUUAAAGUUUGGGAUUAAACGAUAACUGUUUGAUCAUGCGAUUGCGAGUGAUCCGACCUUUCAAUACGACCAAACUUGCAGAGCAUGUAUUCUAAACCUUGUGGAACCCAUAGGAACUUCCGGUUAGGAAAUCGGCGGUCCAUGGCCCUGCGGGCCUGGUUAACCUUAUUGGGAAAGUUUGACCGCCCAGUUGACCGAGCGUAUUCCUAGGCUAUCCCAUCAUCCGAAACACGUAGUUGGACUUUAGGAAAGUCCUGUUCCUCGUGCACUUACUUGAAACCCGGAAAACUAGGAUUUAAUUUAAAGUUCACAUUCGAAGCGUUUUAUAUUAAUCUCAUACUCGUAUUCUGAAAUAGGUAAUUUGGCUACUCGCACACAGCAGGCGGGACCCUCUCAGGGUCAAGCAGCGUGGGACUAUUUGUGAGUGGACUUUGUUUUCAAAUAAUAAACAUUGUUUUAUGAUGGAAAAACUAUGCAUAUUGAUUUAAUGGUUUAUUGAAUAUAUUAUAUAUUCAAUUGUGGAAUUUAAUAUUAUUGUAAAGUAUUUGCAUUAUAUUCGGAUUUUGACAUAUUUGAGUAUCUUUAGUUUAUAUAUGUGAAUUUUGAGAAUUUCUAUAUUAUGAUUGAUUAUGUGUAGGGUACGUGGGAUGUUGGUUUGAGAUUGUGAAAAGAGAGUGGAUUAUAGUUAUGUCAGUUUGAAGUGCUAUAAGUACUACCCUAUGUACCUCCCAGAUUUGGAACUUUGGAUUUGGAAUGUUGAGAUACUUGGAUAUGUUGGAACUUAGACACCCAUGACGAGGUGUUCCGUAGACCCGUAGCGGGGUUAGUCUGCGCGCGUAGGACUUGUCACAGGCGUAUGAGUAUUGAGGAUUCUACUAUACGUGCUAAUGAGUUUAGUUCCAGUUGGACAACUCGUUCCCUAGCUACAUGGUCAAUUGAGGAUUCUUCCAUGUGGACUAGUCAAACAAUAUAUAUAUAACAAUUCAUUAAUUAUUAUUUAUCGGUGAGGAUACUUCUUCGCUCGCCGUGCCAACGAGUAUGCGUCUGGAAAGAAUGGUUCGGGUAUAUUGAAAAGGUUUUGAUUGGGUUGAGAAACAAAGUACCUUUAUGGGAUUUCGGAUUUCGUUAUGGUUUUGAUUCAACUAUUUAUACAUAUAUGGCUAUUUUCGGUUUUGAAUGCAUAUGGUUUCAUCAUAUUUUUCUAAACGGUGGGGUUAUACUAUGUUGGUUUCAAUUGUGAACUAAACUUGUUUUUGUCCACUCAUACUUUUUCUAUUUUGCACCCCCCAGACAGUAGCUAUAUUCGAAUCGAGCAACCGAGCCAAGAUCUCUACUUCCGAACUCUGAGCUUUUGUAGGGCUCUUUUAUUCAUUUUACUUCCGUUGAACUUUGCUUUCUGCUUGUAAUAUGAACUUAGUGAGAUUUGCUCUGUUAUCGCCCUGUUAGGGUUUGAUUGUGAGGCCAGAGGCUUUUGUGAACCUUCAUAUUAGUCACAAGAUAUAUCUAAAUAGUAACUUCACUUAAGUUUAAUGAAAUGAUCGUGUGACUAAUAUAAAGGUUCACAUGAAUGAUCUAUAUAUGGCAUCUUCACUAUAGAAUUUCGCUACCAGAAGGAUUACUAAGAGCAUCCACAAUGGGCUCCCUAAACCACCUCUUUAGACAAAUUUAAAAUUGAAAAAAUACAACUCCAACCAUGCUCCAUAUCCACCUCUUAAAAUAUGAAGACAUUUAAGAGCUCCUAAAUCUAAAGAGAGAGCAAUGAUUCCUAGUAACUCCCUAUAAUUUAAUGAUGAUUUGUUUUAUGCGUAGUUUAAACUUUUAAUUAAUGCUAAUACAUUUUAUUUUUUAUUUUUUACGGAGAUAGACCAAUCAUAUUGAAUUAAAAAAUAAAUAUAGCAUUUAUGACACCCUAAACUAUGGAGUGUGAUUAGAAUUCAAAUUUUAGAGAGAGCUUCUAAAAUAAUUUUUAUGUAUUUUUAGCUAAAUUUUAACUAAAAAUUAGGAAGUAUGAUUAUAGAUGCUUUAAAUCCAAGAUCAAAUCCUUCCCUGAUUCCUAUAAUCUAUAACCCAUUUAAGCUUCAGCCCCAGGCCCCAAGCCUGCGAUAACCAAAAGUCAAUUGCGCCGGGAUGUUUGAUCCAAAAACCGACCCCAAUAACCCAAAUUACAUAUUUGGACCAGAUUAAUAAACUCACAUUGAACUCCGAGCGAAACUUGCUCAAUUCAAUCCCUCCAAAUUCAUCAUCGUUGCCUAGUGACGAUAACUUUUAAUUGCUACAAGAAUAUUUGGGCCAAUUUACACCCGUAUAGCAUACCAACCUACAACUAUGUAUUGUUUUUUCUUCAAAAUCCUAACUAAUACAACAAUGGACCUCUCCUAUAAGGUGAAUAAAAAAUAAAUUACAAAGAUCUUCUGUUGCAGUAUCUCUUUCAGCGGACUCUCUGUAAAUGUUCUAAAAUCUUAACCAAGCAAAAGUUUCGAUAAUAUCUCUCCCAUGGUCUUCUCGGAUGUUUCGCCUUCAUUAUCCAUCUCCAAGCCAGAUUCCAGGACUGCAGCAUCUAGCACUAACUUUCUUUUUGCAAUCUCGUAAACGUUUUCAUCAACUGUACCCUUGGUGACUAGCCUGUUAAAGCACAUAAGCAGGUUAGAGAUCUACCAUUCACAAUUCAAGUCUACAACACAGACAAAUACCGCAGAAUGAAGGGAAAGAGAGAUGGCUUUUGGGGGGGCGGUGGGGCGGUGGGGGGUGAUGCUUUUCUGACAGGUAAUAGGUGAGGAGUGAGACAUUGGGACAUUGAAGGAGGAGCAACCUGUAUAUAGUAACAGGCUUCACUUGGCCAAUGCGAUGACAGCGAUCUUCAGCCUGUCGAUCAAUUUGUGGGUUGAAAUCCAUAUCAUGAAUGACUACAGUAUCAGCUCCAGUCAAGUUCAAUCCUUGGCCUCCAGCUCUUGUAGACAGCAAGCAUGCAAAUAUAGAAGUGUCGCUAUUGAAUGUAUCAACUAUCGUCUGUCUUUCAGUCACCUGAGUACUGUCAUUUGGAAGAUACAGACAAGAAACACAACUUAUAGUACAAAUAGCAAUUCAAAUUAACCACAAUCAACAGCUAUAUAUUCAACUGAACCUGAGCAAGUCAAAUAAUAUAAUAAAUAUUGAUACAAACGAUCUGUAACUGUGACAUAAGUAUGCCAGUACCUUCCAUCAAGUCGUCUGUAUGUAACCCCUAUCACAUCCAAUGUCCACUCCAAAAUAUCAAGCAUUGACGUCCACUGGCUAAAAAUAAGAACUCGAUGCCCAGCUUGCUUCAGUGAAGGAAGAAGUUCAGCCAAUGCCUAAUAUCAUUGACAAGAAAACCCUUCUCAAUUUUGAGCAGAAAGUAUCACCGAACAAUCCUAUCCAAAUUUGUUAGAAAACUUAUUGAAGUAACAUUAUACCUGAGACUUUGCUGCAAGCAUAACAUAUUUGUCUGGAAGAAAUCCUUUCUUAUCAGUGACACCAUGAUACAGUAAAAGCUGCAGAGAAAGAGAGAACAUACAUUGCAUCAAGAUAGAAUAUGCAAUCUGCUACAACUAAUAAUUACUGGGAAAUUCACUGAGGAGGAAAAUAUCAUAUUCCUAUGCAGCAUGAAUACUGCUUGUUUUGAAUGGCAGUACAAAAAAGAGGAGUCCCUGUGCAGACUCGUGAACACCUGAACCAUUUCAAUAUCUGUACAUAUAUUUACAAAUAUACACAUACUUAUAAUGUACAAAAUAGAUAAUCCAAUCAUUCCAAUGGAUUAAUAGUAUAAUAUAAUGCUCGAAAUACAAAUUCAUUUUUAAGAAGUUGAAAAAAUACCCGAUGGAUAGAGAAGUCACUAUAACUGUUAAGUUCCCCAAUUACUUUGUCUAAAGUACACUCAAAGCCAAAUGCACCCAUUGGAUGUAACUUUCUGGCAAAACGAACAACAUCCUCAUCACUGUAAAUACGCCUUACUAGUAAAGGAUGAUUUGCAAUCUAGACAGCAGGGAAAGGAAAAAAAAAACAACAAUAAGCACAAGACAUAUGUAAUCAGAACAAAAGAACUGGGAUACAAAAAACAUGAUAAAUUGAGACAGCAGCACCUUACGAAACUGAACAAAAUAGUUGGAGAUCUGCCGCCGGGGAAGAACUCCAAGGAUACUGUUCGAGUUAACCUCUGAGGUUUUUGCAAUACGAGCUUGUGAAGCUGCACGAUACUCCUCAAUGGCUUCUUUAUAGGCAUCUGCUUGUUCCUUUUCCAUGACAACAUACUCAACCUGCAGUGCAUUUCUCAGCUUCUUUCUAAAGUACAAAAGAAAUAACCAACAGAUAGACUUAUAUUUUCUAUAAGUAAGAGUAAUGAAAAACUCCACAAUAUGAAAAAAUAAGAACCUACGCAUAAACUAAUAACAUACCCGCUGUAUUUUUGGAACAAGUUGUUGCAUAACAUCAGAUUUUAGGCGUCUCAAAAUAAAUGGUCCCAAUAUGGAUUUCAUACGGCCAAUCAAAUCUCUAUCUUCAGCACUUAAUAGCUUUUUUAAGUCAACAUCCUCGGUAGUGAAAAGAUCUGGCAUCAUAAACUCCAGCAUAGACCAGAGCUCCUGCAAAAACCCACAAGUCAUUAACAAAGAAAUUUCUAAGAACUAAAAUGCAAGUUCCAAUAUAAAAUCAAUAGUAAACACUAUUGACUGAUGCAAUUCCACAUCUUCUAAACUCAAUUUUUUAAAAAAAAAUUUGAUAUAUCAUGUUUACAAAAUGAAAGAGGAAAUAAGUAAGUAACAUUCUUGAUAAGGUAUCCCCAACCCAAGGGAUAAUUUAACCUCACCUUAGCAAAUGUACAAACGCACAUCCUCAGACCUAAUCCUAAAAUUCAGAUAAUUCAAUCACACUAUAUCAUGACCAUCCAAAACACUUUAUUAUAUCCUUGUCUUCCCUCGAAAGGAAUCAGAUUCAUCAUUUUCAUCAUAUUCUAAUCUUCCCUUGGUAAGAUUGCAAUGCAAAAAGGCCAGUUUUCUGUUCAUUGAACAACGUGGCUAUUUAAGUAAUAAUCCAGAAGAUUAUAAAGGGUAUAAAGUAAUACAUGUAAAUCAUUUUGUAGAGGUGUCCCUGUCAGCAUUAGACGCUGGUUUGCACUUCGUGCAACAGACAUUAGGUUUUUCCACCUGUAGCUAUUUUUAUCCUUCAAAGCAUGAGCUUCGUCCAUAAGCACACAACUCCAUUGCCAACGUUUCAGAAUUUUACGAUCAUCUUUUUGCUGUCCACUGGAAGACCAUAAAUUAAAGGAAUUAAAAUACCAUAAAAUCAAAAUCACUUUCCACUAUCCAUAUGUAACACCGAAACAAACCUGUGUCUUUCAAAUAGUGAAUAGCACACGAGAAUAACAUUAAAAGGAGGCGGCAAUCCAGCUUUGGCCAAAGAGCUCAAUUCUCUUGAAUAUGCUGAUCGCGCAGCCCCAUGAUACUGGAGAACAGAAAAUGACGGGCACCACUUCUUCAGUUCCCUUUCCCAGUUUUCCAAAACCGAAGCAGGACAGACAAUCAAAUGUGGACCCUGGUCGUUGUGUAAAUGUUUCAAUAACAUCAAAUAUGUUAUAGCCUGUUCAACAAGAACAGAUAUUAGAAAACUAAAGUUACAAUUAUUAUUGAAACAGGUGAGGAGAAUGGACCCCCAGGUACCUGAAUGGUCUUCCCGAGACCCAUCUCGUCGGCCAAAAUGGCUGCAGAAAAUAAAGUAUGUUAAACUGCUAUGCUUUGAGAAGUGAGAUUAAACCUAGCCCCAGACUGUAAUAUGCUUAUACAAUCAUAAAACUAGCCUCAAAGGAAGAUUGAUAAACUUUCAUCUAUUUAAACGAAAUCACUUCAAUACAGAGCUUCUUAUGCUAAUUUCAAAUUACAAGCAGUUUCCUAGUUCUUCCCUAAAUUGAGUCCCUAAUGAAUGCCCUAUUUCCUGGCACAGAGCAAAAGAAAAGUACCUCCACUGAUACCCUUUCGAUACAACAGAAGAAGAAAGUUAACACCAACCAGCUGGUAUGGCUUGAGAAUAGGUUGAAAGUCAGAAUGGUCAGACCUACAUGCCGCGAUAAUAUCAUCCUGCAACAACAAAUCAAUCACCAUCAAUUGCCAACGGCAUUGAAAGCUGACAACAACUAGAAAAAGAAAAUAAUCACAAUACAUAACAAAAACAAAAAAUCCUUCGCACAGAAACCUAAAUUCAAAAAUUUUGUUUUGCUUUUUUACUUUCUUAUACAGCCACAUUCUCUUUCCCUGUAAAUGUUCAUCAUUUUCCUAACCCAAGGAAACAAAGGAAUGCCAACAUUUUGAACCACAUUUUCCACCAAUCAAAAUAACUAAAGGUAAGAGCUUUCCAACUCCAUGCACCAAACAACAAGAGUAUACUGAAAAGAAGAAGAUAAAAAAUAGAAAGCACCUGAGUGACAAUCCUCACAGAGGCAGCUUCCACUUCAGCAUAACGAUCAGACACAGCGGGAGCCGACGAGCCGUGGAGCUCCCUUCUCAAGUCGGCCGAUAUUUUGGCACACUUCUGCAAAGCCUUGCCAACCACAUCAUCCUCCUCCAACUCCUCUGCCUCUUCUUCUUCUUCUUCUUCACUCGUUGACUCUAUAUUGACCCAAUCUCCAUCGCUCUCCUCGUCCUCGAUGACGAACCGACGGCCAGGUUUGACGGGCCUGAUAACCUGAACCUCGUCGACGUCGUCGUCCUCCAACUCAUUUUUAAUUUCGACGCAAUCAUCAUCGUCGUCGGAGAGUUGUUGGGGCUUUGGGGAGGAGGCUCGGAAGGCGAAGGACUCAAUUGGAGGCGGCGUUGGGGUUCGAGGUUUCUUGAGGACUCGAGAGGGCUUGAAGGAGGAGGAAUGCUCCUCCCACUCGUCGUCGGAGAUUUCGAAAUCGUCGAGACCGCGCUUCAUAUCAUCGUUUUCAAAAACAAAAAAACCCAAAGUGAAAAAUGAGAAGAAGCCCUAAUUAAUUAGAAGGAGGAGUGAGUUGUGGUUUUACUGGUACUGUUAGUGGGUGCUGAGAAGAGAAGAGAAGAGGAAAGGAAAAGGAUCUUGAGGGAGCUCUCCCUCUCUAGUGCUCUACUUCGGGAGUGCAAGUGUCAAGGACGCCAAAGACCGCCAUUUCUUUCGGGAUAUUUGCCUUGCCCUCUUCUCUGUUGCAUUUGCUUCGUUUUUUUGUUUUUUUCUUAAUUAAUUAAACUAGAAUGGCUUUAUUUUAUUUUCUCAGAAAUGCAUUUCCGGAUGUAUGUAUUUUUUUUAUAACUUUGUUGGACCAAAUUACCCAUUACAAAAAUUAAAAUAAAAAGAAUAAAACGACUGCGAUGACGAUAUCAACAAUUAAUCUCAGCUUCUAAUUUAUUGACUAGCUUCAGGCCGAAAUUUAUAAUCCUUUGGGCUAACAUUUGGGUUUGCAGGAAAAGUAGUUGGAUCUCUAGCGUGAUCGAGAAAGUGCUUAUGGGCCUCUUCACUUGCUGUGCUGUUUUGAAAGCAUGAGGUUGGCCUUAUCAUUUUUAAUGUAAUAAGUCGACUUGGGCUUUUUUAAUUAAAAAAUCAACAACAACAAAAUUUGAUACAACCAGUAUUAUACUUUAAUAUAUCUAAUAUAAACUACUGGGGGAUAAAGUUUAAGUGAGGAGCACAUCAGCUCUAAUUAAUUUAGCUAAGCUCAUAUAUACUUUUAAAAAAGAAAUAUUCACUAUUAUACCAAAUAUAGAAGUCCAAAUUAUAAAACUACUUUAUAAGAAAUGGACUUUAGAAACGCACACAAAGCUCAUUUACAACAUAACAAAAGACUUUUAACUUCUUUUAAAUUACAAAACUGCUAUUGAUUUCUUAAAAUAAAUCCAACCCCAAAACCUCAUAAAAAUGGCUCAAAACACUUAAUAGGGCAUCAAAGUAAUUUAAUAAUCAGAAUUAAAUUCAAUAAGGUCAGCUGUCAUUUUUUGGGUAUUUUUUGGGUUUGUUUAUAUAAAUUUGUAGGGGUCUUUUUAUUCCAGCAGCCUGACGGAUGGGCUUGGACUGCCGAAAAGAGAAACAAGUGAAAUUACCCCGUGUACCUAAGUUCAAGAAUCAGGCCCCAAGAAUGCUUCGAAAGGGUAGUGAAGCCUUAUGAAGCAUCUUGGUUACCUUCACCAACAAAAAUAAUGGAUGCUUACAGAUAAAUUCUUAGUGUUUGCAGGUAGAAUCUUAGCUUGGCAUGAGAGACUUGUGGCAUGGGAGCAAAACAAUCAUGAGUUUAGCAUAAACAAAAAGAGGGCUGUGAAUUCCUAUGAGAAACAUGGGUUUUAAGACAAGGGGGAAUGGAUUCUAAGAGGGUUUGUUGAAGAAGGAGAGAGAUGGGGGUAUGAUGGUGUGUUGAGUAGUUUCCGGCAGCUUGACGAAAAGUCUGUCAAUCUCUGGAGUGUUUUAACAGAAGAGAAAAUGGGAGGAGAUAGAUAAAUAUGGCUCAAAAUUGCAGAGGCUUCAUGGAGGGGAGAUAAAGCUUGCUCCCCAUAUGUGUGUUGCUUAGGAUAAAGAAGAAGGAGAUAAAAGGUGAGGCACUUGGGCUUGAUGUUAGCAGUUAGAUAAUAAGCUUGCUCAACUGCUCUAGUUGAGUUUAAUGGGUAGGAGGUACCUCCUUUUAUAGUCGUUAGAAGCUCAUCCUUCUCAAGAAACCCUAAUGGGUUCUCUCUAAUUUUGCCAAGUCUCUCCUUUCAUUUCUCUUCUCUCCCUUCGAUCAAUCCCAUUUUGUGAAAUUAUCCUUUGCACAAUCGCACCAAAAACAGGGUUUUGGGAGCUCUAGGCUUAUCAGUGGUGAUUUCUUAUUUUUGGCUGUCAUUUCUCCUCCUUUCCUCUCCUACUUCAUGGCAAGAUCUGGUGGGGGGGGAAUGGGUAUGUAUGCUGGUUUGAAUGGUGUUUUGCCUAAACAUCCCUUGGUUUUCUUGAUGGAUUGCAUUGGGUUUGUCUUUGGCCAUGUGCUGGAGUCUCCCAGCUUCCUGAGCCUACAAACAUCUCCUGGUUUUCUAUCAUGGUUUCAUUUCAAACCAUGUGCUAGGGAUUUUUUGGAUAUUUUCUAAACCACUUGGGCUAUUUGGGCCUUCCUAAGGUGAUGAGUUAGUGUAUUUAAGGGAAUGGGCCAACCUCGUAAGUGACGGACCAUUUUUAUUGAGAUGAUGAGCUAAUUUUUCCUAAAGUACUGGGCUAUUUCUUUCUUUUAUGUUUACCCACAUGUUUGGGCUCAAGAAAUGAGCUUGAGUAUUGGGGCUCCCAAGCAACCCAAACUUUCAUUUCUCGGCUCAUCAAUAGGCCUCAUGAAAGCUCGUUACCAUCCAUACCACAACCCACUCAAGCAAGCUCCGGGCGCUUGCGUGGCUUGGACCUACUUAAGCUUGUAGUGUGGCUAGGUGUAAUAAUAAUGAUUUUUCACUUGGUAUUGCAUGUCGCUUGGGGUGCUUGAAUUUCGUAUCCUUUAAAAAGGGAUAUGAUGCUUAACGGGAUAAUUAGCAUGAGCUUGUAGAGUCAAUGCCUUUUAUAGGCUUAUUUCGAUUCUUAGCGUGACGGAUUGCAUAUUUAUUUGGCAUAGCACAUGGUCGUGGCUCGUGCAAGCGUGAAUGACGAACUUUCGCGUGCUCCAAAUCGGGUCUUUUCUUAAUAAGGCAUUGCGUUGGGCUGAGAAUUUAUUUGGGCACAACCUUGAAUUUUUGGGCCUCAACAAAAUUAAAUGGUUUAGGGUUUAUCUAUAUUAUUAGUGCUAAGAAUUGAUAUAUGACUAAAUAUCUCUAAAAAAACGAAUUUAUGAAAUGAGGAUGCAAGAGAAACACAUUCUAAGACUGUUCGACCAAUAAAUAAAGAAAUAAAAUUCUAAGAACGUUAGCCGACAACAAGAUGCAGGAAAAAUACUUGGGUGAAAUGAGAAUAGCAUUAUUUUGCUAUCCUCGGUCAAUCACAUUGUGCCGCGCUUUAUAACUUUUACACAUGGUAGUUUGUGAUUCGAUGAAAAGGCAAAAUAGUAUUAUUCCCGUUUUGCACAAAUUUUUCUACAAGAUAAUGGCCACCAACAGAUAAUGAGGAUUCAUACAAAUUCUUGCAGUCAAUUUGUUGCCAACCCAUUCAUGUAUCAUUCUCGUGACACUUAUUUUCAGUUUCUUUAUUAUUAUUAUUUUUAUAAUUAAUCUAAAUUAUAUAUUUAAGGGGUGAUUGUAAUGAGGGUAAUAGAGAUUUUUUUUUCCCCAUGGUAAUAAAUCUUAACCGCUGCCAAUGGCCAUAAAGAAAAUGAGAAAAUGAAGCAUCCUACGAGAUCUCCUUCAUCACCUGGAAAUAAAAUUAGGGGGAAGGUAGCUACUAGCUAGUACCAUUGUUCAAGCAUUUGAAAUGCUUUAAUUUUUCUGUUGAUUCCCUUGAAAAAAUUAAUAUAUAAUAAAAUUCAUAGCUAGAGACAUGAUGGCGAUGAUCAUCCUUCAACGACCAUGAGAUUGCAGGCCUGCUUCUACUUUGGCCAUCAAAAAGGCACUAGUCAAACUCGAUAUAGUUAUAGCACUACCAGUAAAAAAUUAUUAAUUAUAUAAUGAGGUUUUGAAUGGUUUGGUCAGCCACUGGGAUCACUAGUAGAAGCCACCGCAUCUAAAUGGUUGCCAUUGCUGAUCUAAUCGCCACAAUUACUGUACAUCUAUGGCACCAAAUAGAUGGCCACGAUGUAUUUGUGGCUGAAAAACAAUUAGACAUGGAUAUUGAGACAAAAUGGUACUUAUUUUUCAAUUAUUACACAUAGUCACGAUCAAUGUGUAAUGUCAAUUCGUCUCCUCAAUCUUCAUUGAUAGAUCAUUCUUACAAGAAAAAAAGAGAUAAAUAUUAUAUUAUUAUGAUAUUUAGUUGUGAUGAAAUAAAUAAAUGAACACUUUUAUUACCCAAAAAAAAAAAAACUAAAAUGAUUAUUUUCUAAUAAAAUGGUUGAAAAUUUUAUAAUUUUGUGUAGAGGGUGGGAUGAAUAAAAUGCAAUGUAGAAAGAGUCUCCUCUAGCUUUGAUUGAGAAGAGCACCAAUAACAUGUUGAAGUGCACCACCACUCUUAGGUUUUGCACUUUGUGCUCAUCUCCGCUUUGACCAUUGCUUCCUUGCAUUCACUUUUGCCCCUUGUCAACUUUGAUAGGUUCUAGAAAUAAUCUUGUAUUUUCAAGCAAUGAGCUGAUGAGGACAAAGCAAAGUGAUGAGUGGUGGCCAACUUGCAAGUGCUAACUCCUCCACCAAUAUUUCGCAUUCAACGAUUUGGUGAUCGUUCUAUAGAUCAUUUGAGAAAUGGAGAAUAUAUACAGUUUAGUCAUACGUCAUGAAUCAUGAUGAUUUUCAGUCAUUCUAGCUACCGACUGUACUCAGUUUUUUUUUUUUUUUUUUAACUUCCCAUUUAUAUAGUAUGUAUAUAUUCUGUAAAACUUUUUUUUUGGUCGUAUUUUAGGAUAUUUUUUACAUUUUCCUAAUUUUCAACAAAUAAUAUGUAUGCUUAAUGUUGGGAGUUGACGUAAAAUAAAAGAGUCAUAUAUGUCUCUUCUCCAAUAGAUUAUGCGAUAGGAGGAGAGAGAUAAAUUUAUUUCACGUACAUUCAUUCUCCCAACCCAAGAAAGAGAUCGAAUGGACAUUUAUGGUAAAACUUUAGUUCCCCUUGUUACACUAGCUCAUUAGCUGUUGAACAAUUUGAAGCAGCUAGGAACUUUAACUGGUUGUUCUUUUGCAUGUGAUUAGACUUUUGGGAUAGGUUUCAGUUCUUUUACAAGAACUGAAGAAAGUCAUAUCAGAAAGAGUGAACCGUUGACUUUCCAAAAUAUAACCCACCAUUUACAAAUUACAUACAUAUCUUGAUGCUCUGUAGCAAUUAAGGUCUUAUAAUUUGAUGUUACAUUGAGUUCAUAUAUCUUCUAAUAACUAUACAAAUAACACAUCAAAGUAUUCUUAGAAUAAUAAUUCCGAGAGAUGAGUUAAGUUAUCAUAUCGUAUUUCGUCAUCAGCUGAUUAACACAAAUAUGUAUGCAUUAUGCAAAUAUUGUGAAGUAGUAACUAUUAAUUAGGCCACAGCUGAAUCUUAAUCCUAAGCCGAAAGCCAUAAUACAAGAUAGUUGCUUCCCAUUCUUUUGAGAAGAUAUAAACUUAACAUGCAUGCACUGAGGCUUUUUUUCUUCUUCUUCUACACUAUAACUGAUCGCAUUGACAACAAGAAAAUAUGAAAUAUAAAGUAAUCUCAUAGCUUAUCUAUACAAACAUCCUCUAUAUGUUGGUGUCCAAUAGUCUGAUCCUGUAUUCUCACGAUAAACCUGAGGUGUGCAUGAAAUAGGCACCAAGCAAAGGCCUUUGUUCUUGAGGUCAACCUUUGCAUCUCCCUUGUGAUCUUUUCUAUCGGUCGCCCAUGGAUCCUAAAACCACCAACACUAAUUGAUUAGCAUAUAUACAAAUUGUAAGCAUGCUUGAUACAUAUGUGUGUGUGUGUGUGUGUGUAUGUAUAUGUAUACGCAUGUACGUACCUUGUGUGAAUUUGUCUUCAAAUAAGGGCUACUCAAUAGCUGCAAAAUCAUGGAAAUGUAGCUUAGAGGAUGUAUAUAACAAUCUGGAAAUACUAUUUUCUUCGAGCGUAAAUCGCAACAAGAGAUUCAAACAAAUUAUUAAAAAGAAAGAUUAUAUAUGAUAAUAUAUACCACAUGCACUUGGUCUUGCAGGAACUUGAUGUACUGAAUCGCUUCAUAUAGUACAGAUGCAGUAUCAGUCUGAAAAUUAAACUAAAUAUAAUGAAUAUAUAUGAUGAUGAAUUAUGAAAUAGAGAGUGUGAAAAACAAGAAUUAAUCCAGUUGAAAUGAAAAUAAUAAGUAGCAGGUUGUACAUGUGUGGCUGAUUUCUACUCACCUUUCCAAAUGGAGACACGAUUUGUUGAAGGGCCGUGAUCCUGUCUCCGAGCUUGACUUUUGGUGCCUGCAUCUGUCGAUUCAAUUUGUAAAUUAACAAUUCAAAAGGCAAAAGUUAAUAUUAUUAUAUCCGAAUUAAUUAACAAAGAUGAAGCGUGAUUUCUUUUGUCCUUUGCCUUUUUCUUCUCUAUAGAGUACCUUUACAGAUGAUGAAACUGUAGAAGUUUCUUGCUUAGGCUUUUUCAAGACUGUUUCUGAUGAUGUGUCGUCCGUUCUUUUCUUCUUUCCUUCAUUUGCAAUCCCUUGUCCUCUUCCACUACUCACUCUUGUCUGCGUGUUAUGCAAAGAAAUUGAAAAUCAUUAAAGGUAAAUUGACUUUAAGAAUAAAUUAAUCACUUGAUUGAUUGAGCAUACCGAGGAAGCUUGCUUCUUAGAAUAUUGAUCAGAUAGGUUGGAAGAUUUGAAACAGGGCUUGGGUGCAUGAAUAUCAACCAAGGCCGACUUGUUGCCUAAUCGGCUACUAAAAGAUAUAACAUCUGCAAAAUUUCUGGCACCGGCACUCGUAGCACCGCAUGAAGAAUAAGAAUCGGGCAAAAUUGAUCCAUUUCCAUAAAAGUACUUGCCGUUAUGGUGAUCUGCAACCAUUGCGUUAACGUUGUUGAGGCCAAUCUGAUAUUCAAUGCCAUUAGUAUUAUUACCAAACGACGGCGUUAUUCCAUGUAAAGCUCCUCCUCCUCCUCCUCCUGCUACGCAUGCAGCCUCAACCUUGCUACCAUAACAUGAAAAUAAACUGGAUCCCGAGUUUCUAUUUGUAAUAUUAUUAUUUCCCAUCUGAGCAUCACAUGAAGUCGAAUCGUUAUUGAUGAACGCUUGCGGCUUCAAGUAGUGAUGGUGAUCAUGAUCCAUAACUAGCUGUGGUUCGGGGGGCGCAAUGGACCAGGUGCUCACCAGAUUUGACAGCUUGGUUAACCUUUCGUUCUCAAUAUUAACAUUAUUAUUCAUGUUGUUGUUCUCCAUAAACCCUCCAUUUAAUUGCUUCUCGAAACUGUUGAAAUUAUUCGAUGCAGCUGAAACGUACUUUGUGAACUCCCAAGUACUGUUGUCCAGUUUCUUCAAGUAGUCACAAGCAGGUUCAUACAUGACAUGAUCAGUUGACAAGCUCUUGGACGACAGCGCAUCGAGAAAAUUCUCUCCAACAUCAUGAUCAUUGUGGUGUAAAUCACUGUUUCCAUUAACGCUUCUGCAUGCAUGGUUCAACCUUAAACAUCAAUCGAUUAUCACAUAUACAAGUUAACCUAAGUUUUUAUAUGAAAUCAAUAUCACCCUUUUAAUUACUAGCUGCCCUUAUUAUAUGAAAGUACAUAUCAUACAGAAAAUUUGGCUACUUACAAGAGAACAUGGUUCCAAAUAUGAUUGUCAGAAACCUGCUCUCCGUUGAUCAUAUCGUUGUUGGGAGACGCAGAACGCUGAUCAGCAACCUGCAGUCUGCGAGAGGAGUCAACGCUAAGGCUUGAGUGGUUGGAGGCAUUGGUAAAGGAAGUGCUGGAGAUUGAAACAUCCUGGUCAACAUCAUCACAAUUAUUAGAAGAGUUGGAGUACUUCUGGUUUGGCUGCUGCUGAGGCGGCUGUGGCUGCCAUGGGUUGAUACCCAAGUUGCUCCAUGAAGACAGCUGAGAGCCUGCUGCCCCUGCACCUGCAGCUGCAUGGAGAUCCCACCAGUUUGGUUGUGCUAGCUGUGGAGAGGAAGAAGAGAUUGCAACACAAGAAGUACUUUCUCUGCAUUCUUCGGCCAUUUUUCUGGACUUCAAUAAUCUUUCAGUCGUUCUUUUUCUCUUUGUAAGUGAGUAAUUAAUGGCGGUGGACUGGAGAUGCUGUGUGUGUGUGUGUGUGUAUGGUUGGUGGUGUUUUUAAUUGAGCUAGUCCUGUGUUGCUUUAAUUCUGAGCUGCUGGGGUGGUGGUGGAGGGUUUGGAAAUAAUUUUUCUCAUGGGAUUGGAAUGGAGAUAUAUAUGAAUAUGAAUAUCCGUUGGGUGGUGACGUACGGGGUUGUAGGUUUUAUCAAAUCAAUUAUAGGGGAGACAAUAAAAUAUGCACCCUCAGUAUUUCCACUAACGUUCGUGGGCAAUUAUUAAUUUAUAUACGGACAUAGCUAGCUGGGCCACCAAUACCCCGGACAGACCCAGAGUUUGGUUUAGUUUAGGGUUUCUUCUUAAUGCCCUUCACUCAUAGUCAUACAAUACAAAGGGAGGAGUUUGGUCUAGGAUUAGGGUGGAAGCCUGCAUUGCAUUUGCAUUUGCAUGUAUCUCUCUAUUUAUUUCUUUAUUCACUAGCAUUGCAAGCAAAAUACCACAUUCUUUUCGUAUGGGUAAGAAGCAUGACACGACACUACUCACUCGUAAUUAAGCAAAAUACCACAUUCUUUUUUUUUGUAGGUGGAACCAUUAUUUUCUUUCCAAACAAUUAAUUUUAGUUAUACAAAUCCAUAUAUGGGUUGCAAUUUGCAAAUGAGAUUUCUCUUAGCAUCUGUUUCAUGGAUAUGUUUGGUAACCUUGUCAUUCUGAUUAAGUUUUAUGUAAUGCACUAUUUAAUUGUUGUUAGAUAAUACUAAAGAACAAUAGGGAUUAUUGUCACGCACUAAUUUAUACUAAUUACUGUUGUUAUUGAUAAAAACAAAGCUAGUAUAUGUUGUCUUUCUCUUUCAAAUACAUACAUUAUCGUAUUAAACAUGUUUCAGUAGAAACCCUAAACUCUCUCUGAAGGUGAAACUGUGGAUCUGUAUUGUAGGUCUGAGUACAGAUGCUUCUUGUUUUUAGGUUUUUCUGGCAUGCGUAAUUCUCACCAUAUCAAACCAAUUUAUUUUUGUGUUUGGUCACUAGACAUGUUGUAUUUAUAUUUGGCAUUGCGACUACCCUGUACUUUUUUUAUGUGUUAUCAAUAAAAUUACUAUCGCUUUUAGUAAAUAAAAAAAUACAUACAUUACCAACAUAUUUUCUUACUUUUUUUUUUUACAGCCAUGUGUGAAAUGAGAAUAACAUUAUUUUGUAUAUCCCAAAAUCAAUCACACUUUAAUUGCAAACAGUAGUUUAAUUUUGAAUAAUGCAUGAGCGUGACAAUGGUGAUCGAUGAAUGUACAAUGUUUGAGUGUGAGUCUCGGAGCAUGGUCACCCAAAGGAGAAUAAUAAUGGUGCCCUUGACAAUAAAAUGAUAUGAAAUUUGCAUAAUAAAUAAUAAAUAUAUUUAGUAUCUUUUUACUUUAUUGUGUAAUUAAUAAAUCCGAUCUUUUAAAAUGAAAGGUGUUGUUUCUUGGCCUUUGCAUACAUGGUCUAGUUGGUGGGUGUUUUUAUUAAGUGGCACUCUGCAUCACUCUACAUCAAAGUUCCACUUGAGAAAUUUCCAACCUUUUUAAUUUCCUUCUUCUUCCUCCAUUGAUGGCCCAUUGGCUGCACAAGGAAGUGAGCUUUUUGGUUUCUUCAUUGUAACACGAAUGACGGUGUGCAGUUAGUCACGUUAAUUUUAUAAAUUAAACUCUAGCUUCAAUAUCAUCCACCCAAAUAAUAUAUCUUUUAUUUCUUCUCUCUAGUCUCUAGGUUUAGAGUGGAAAGUUUGAUUAGGUGGGGACCAAAUACAAACCAUAGGUUAGGCGGCGUUAUAUAUAUAUAUAUAUAUAUAUAUAUAUUUACUUAUUAAUUUGGUUCCUGUUUAAACAAUAAUGACUUUGAAAAGUUCAUAUUCUUUUCUUUUAGAAUUUAGUAUUCUCAAUUGUUUUCUAAUUUAAUUAUGGGGCAAAGAUAAAUCUUCCAGGACGAGACAUCUUUCUGGUAAAAAGAUAUGAUUUGGAUGAGAGAAUCAAGCUCUGCGUUUGACAAACUCUAUCAACUAAAGUUGGAUAUGGGUAAGAUUUGAAAGAAGAAGGCUAACUCCCAUUAUGUAGUUUGUAUCUUAUUUAUAUGCAGUGAAGGUCUAUUUUACAUACACAUACACGCAUGUAGAUGAUUGCUUAAUCGAUAUAUUAACUUUAAAAAAUCAAAAGAAGAAAUGAACUUAUAUAUACGGGCUCGUUUGAUAACUAUUUUAAUUUUAGUUUUUAUUUUUCAUUUUUCAUUUUUUUGUGUUAGAGAUAGAGAAAAAUGAGUGUGAGGAUGAUAUUGAGAAAGAGGAUUAGAGGAGAAGAUGGGAUAGAGGAGUAACAAAAAUGAAAACAAAAAUUUUAGAGUGAAAAUUAUUUCAAAUAUAUUUCAGUUUUUAGUUUUUGUUUUCACUUUUGUUUUCAUCCUCCCCUCUCAUCUUCCCUCUCAAUUUCAUCCAAAAACUGACUUACUCUUUGACUAACCUGAGCUCUUUUUAAGCCUAAACUAAUACACCCAUCCCACCCACUGAAUAGCCCUGCACUGCGCUCUCAUAAUCCCCCUUCACCUCUUUUUCUCUCUUUUCCUUUUGGUACGAAAGGGGCCAAAUGCCAAACAUAAAAAACUCCUAUUCUUUUAUUUUUUGGUAAAAAACAACCCCUCUUAUUUACUUUUUUGGUAAAAAAAUAACUCCCCUUCAUUUCAUACACCCCUACACGUAGAAAGUAUAAAAGAAGUAUUGUGUACUAAAUGCAUUUUGAGGGCUAAAACUCAUUAUAUCAUAAUGAUUAGGUGUAGUCUUUUGUUAUCAAUGAAUUUCACUUUGUACUAUCAAGUUUAAAAACUAUGUGCGUAAGGUAAAUUUAGCCCAUCCCAAUUUGAAAUCCCGGGACGUCCGUCCAUUCCAUCUUCACUCUUAUUCUCACUUUCAUUCUCCCUCUUUUUUCUCUACAAUCUAGCACAAAAAAUAAAAAAUAAAAACUAAAACUGAAAUGGUUAUCAAACGGACACGUAUAUGCAUGCGCAAAAGAGCAUAUGCAUUUAAAAUUUCAUUGUCAAUAUUAUAUAGCCUUGAUCACUAAGUAACCAACCUCCUUUGUUUUGUAUAUAAGUGGUUUUUGAAUCGAUAAUUCUUGAAAGAUAACCUAAAAACUGAAUAGUUCUCAUAAUUAGUUUACGGUCUAUAAACAAGAUAGUCUUAUUCGAAGGAAAAUAAAGACAUCUUUAUAAAAGCCCCAUAUAGAACCAGGUUUUGGCCAAAAGUAUUCAUCAUGAACCAGCUCUUGUUCCAUGUAAAGUGAAUGAAUUGGAAUAGACUGACUUUCGAGUUCAAAGCCAAUCAAGAUUUCCUCGUCGACAUUCUUUUCCAUUGGUAUAAUCUGCGGUAUCUCUCCUUCAAAAGCUACAUGCAAUUAAGCCUUUAAUUUUUGCUUUAGUGGAAACAAAAACUCCGCUAACUUUUGUGUGUAACGAAUAGAUAAAACCUUGGUGGCUUUAGACCUGAUGCCAAAACCAACCAAACAGAAAUGGCCACUUAUUUGAAAUUAAGAUAAAUUAAUGCGAUAAAAUCCAUAUAAUUAAGCGUAAGCUUAGGUCGAUGCACUGUUGGUGAUGGAAAUUAAGGUAGCCAGUGAGAUUGAACCGUGAAAGAUUUUGUUAGAAAUAUAUCAACAACAUCCAACUGCAACCGUACGAUUCCGCCCAUGUUGGAGAGAUUUUGUUUAGGAUUAUCAUGCCAUUGCCAUCACAGAUUCACAGUAACUAUAGUUAGCAACUAAACUAAUCUUAAUUAAGCAUAUAAAUAAGUAUGCUCCCCGUAAAAGUUAGGUGAAUUAGAUACACAACACAUGAGCUUGAGUGCCUAAGACCCAAAUAUGAUAAGAGGUCCAUUAAGCAUAGUGGCAGCCAUUGUCGUUUCUAACUUUCCUGGACAUGUUUCAAUUGCUUUCCUGUGAGAAAGCUCCAUCCAUGGAAAGGGUUGCUCGACACGUGUCAUUGGAAAGCCCGAGUCUCCUACUUUUGAAAUAAUUAGAUUGGACGGGACAAACUAAAUUCGUUCAAUAGCACGCCACCUUUAAACAAAUGAAAUGGAAAAGGAGCAAAUGAUUUAUUAAUCAAUUCAUGUAAAGCACCAAAGGAAUGAAUAAUAUGUAGUUAAAUAUUAAUUAUUUGGUUUAGUGGUGCUCCUUCGUUUCUUUACAUGUAAUGUAGCCACAGCAACCUUACCAAGAAAUUGUAUAACGACAUUGCAUCUCUCUUUGCAUAUAAACUAAAGUUUGACGCAUAUAUAAAAAUAAUUUCUCAAAAACACAACAAGAAAAAUCUCAACACACAUAUCGAAAUGUGACUAGCAAGAAAAUAGAAUUUCCUACUUUCAGAAAAGCAAACAAUUAUUUUCCAUUGUAUAAUACAUGUUGACCUAUUUAAGUAAUUUGGUAGGGAGUGAUUAGACACGACUUUCUAAUAAUUUAUUAAAAGUCAUUUUACUUGGUGUAAGAUUUCCAAACUCUCUGAGUCAUUCGAGUCCAACUCAUCAACUAAAACAAAAACAAAAAAACCUUUGAUGGCGACUUCACAAAUGUCAACUAUUUGUUUUGAUUUCAAAUCAAAAUCUCAGUGUUUUAUAGUUCUUAAUUUCCCAUUAGAUAUGGUUUUGAAGUAAUUAAUGGAACUAUAAUUUUGUGGUUCACGCACGGCUUUGGUGUCCUCCAAUUACCACAUGAAGAAGUGCUCUGCGAGAGGAGAGUAGAGAGAUGAUUGCCUGGUUUACGUAUCUGAACUUUUUCUUUUGGUUAUAUACUUUAUUACACCAGACACACAGAUACAUCAGAAGAAUAUUGGUUUGUAAUUGUUGCCAAAUAUAUAUAUAUAAUACUUGUGUUUUGUAUUUCUCCUCAGGCAUGCGUAUGAGUCUGCGAGUCUAUAAAAUUUUGACCAUCCUAAUUAAAGAAAAGGGUGGCAAGAAAAGAAUGCACAUUGAAACAAGUGGUUGUGGUUAAAAGGCAAAAAGGAUGAAUUUAGGCAUUGACAAGCACACCAAACCAAACGCAUAAUUGUCAGUGUAAGAAGGGAAUAUACAACAGCACCCAUCCCAGGCCAACCAAUGAAAAACGUGUUGCAUCUUUUUUUUCUUAAAGGUUACAACCUACAUCCUUCCUCUCUACUUUUGUUAUUUAAGAGUUGCUAGAGUGAGAAAAACAUGGACUUUUGUCUUAAUAAAAAAUAUUUAUCUUACAUUUUAGCGAAGUAAGAGCAUUUAUUGGGUUUUAAACAUGUUACUCUAUAUAUAUAUACUAACCUCACACGUGUCAAUAUAUUUUUCUAUAUAUAUUGAUUUCUACUUGAUAUAUUGUAUUUUUUCUCGCAGUUGAAAUAUCAAACACCGAAAACCUUAUUGUGCCUGUAUAACCUUAUUUUUUGAGUUUUUAUAGAAAAUAGCUAAAAUUUACCUUUACUUUCAUAAAUGUCAGUUUUUAUAAAAACUUUCAAAAAUAGCAAAAAACUCACCUAAAAAUACUCAAAACUAAAACAGAUAAAAACCCUAAAAAAGCAAAACAUGGAAACAUACAAUCUUUGUUUUCAUUUGAUUUCAAACAUAAAAACUCCCUUAUGUUAGUAUCUGUUGUCUCUGUCACUGGGCUUGAAGCUUUGGUAGUAUCUGUUGUCGUCAGCCAUGCUGAUGCUAUCAUCAUUGGAUGCCACACACAACUCUUUGUCAGCGAUAUAUGGACUUCAAAGUUGCUAAUUAGAUUCCAAUAUGAACUUCUACAUUGCGAGACGGAUCAAUAACUCUAUGAGUGCCUUGUUAAAUAUAUAAUACAAAUAUAUGACUUAUUAGAGAUAAUUAAGUAAUUAGAUAAUGGAGAUGAAGGAGAUCAUAGAACAAAAGCUUUGCUUCAACUAAAUGUUGGGUGGAUGCAGUACUCAUAGUACACUAGAACUCAUGCCACUUAUAAAUAAUAAUGGAGGCACUAGAUAGGAAUAAAGUCAUAUUCAUGGUUCAACUCCUCCAAUGAUAUAACAUGGGAUCGAACCUUUGUUUUUAUGUUUAAAAUCAAAUUGAAAAUAGAAAUUGCAUAUUUUCUUUUUAGAUUUUUGUGGGUUUUUACGUUUGAGGGCGUUUGAGUAUUUUAGGUGAAUUUUUUUACUAUUUUUGAAAGUUUUUAUAAAAACUGACAUUUAUAAAAGUAUGGAGCAAAUUUUGGCUAAUUUUGAUAAAAACUCCUAUUUUUUCAGGUAAGGAGCUUAUAACUCGUAGUUAAAAGCAAUUACAUUUGCUACCGAGGUUUUGGGCCAAUUUGGCAUUGUUAUGCUGUGAAAAUAAUCAUUGUCAUAUUUGCUGUGAGAGAAAUCAGUUGUGAGAGAAAGCAGUUUGACGUUUGGUAAACUUUUUUUAAAAAGUGUUGUUGGUACUCAUUCCUGCAUAAUUAGAAAAUAAUUGCCGUAUAAUCGUUAAACUCAGUGCCUUUUCAAAACUGAUUCUUGCAUAAUCAAAAAAUGAAAGCACCUCAUUAGCUAUUUUCUCUUAUAGUUUUCUCUCAAAGUAAUUUUUAACAAUAAGUGCCCGUUUGACAUUACUUAUUUGGGGUGAUAAGUAAUUUUUUAAAAAAAAUUGGGAAGCCAGCCCGUUUGGUAAACUAUGAGAAAAUCACUUAUUGUUAAAAAUUACUGUGAGAGAAAGCUAUAAGGGAAAAUAGUUAAUGAGGUGCUUUUAUUUUCUGAUUAUGCAUGAAUCAAUUUCGAAAAGGCGAUAAGUUUAAUGAUUCUGUUGCAAUCAUUUUUUGAUUAUGCGGGAAUUAGUACCGACAACGCUUUUAACAAAAAUUUUAUUAAACGCCAAACAGUUUUUUCUCACAGAAAAUCUGACAGCGAUUAUUUUCACAGCACAACAAUGCCACACUGGCCCUAAGUGAUUUUCUUAUAAUUUACCAAACAGAUUGGGCUUUUCAAAAUAAAUAAAAAAAUCACUUAUCACCCCAAAUAAGCAAUACCAAAUUGGCACUUUGUGUUUGAAUUCGUACUCUCCCAAUCUGAAAAUGGAAAACAUGCAAGGAUGGAUUGUUAAGGAAAUACCAAAAAAGAAAAGAAAAAAGGAACGACCCAUAUUGUAAAUUGGGGAAAUGGAAAUUGGCGGUAUGGCCCAUCCUUCAUAUAUGGGCCCUGUAAAGAGCGUGACCAAUCCUUCUUAUUGAGCUCAUCUGCAAGGUCCUGACCGUCGAAAUUGAUAGGCCCACGCUUUGGCGACUGUUGGCAUGCUUGCGGCAUCUUUCACCUGAAAUCCUCCUCGACUACCCAAACCCUUACCCUUCGAGUUGUCCCAAAUCUACACAAAUACCCCUACUAUAUAUCUCUCGGUCAAACUCGGGAUUUCAUUUUAUUUAUUUUUCUUCCAAAAAAGAAAAAACAAUACACGAGGUCAAACUCGUAAUUACAGUAUUAAUAAUUUGCCCCAUACAUAAAAAAACGAAAAUUGCCAAUACUGAAUAGAAAGAAAAGGGAGUAAAAUCUCAGAAGAACAAAAACCCGUUGCCAAAAUCCCAAGGCUUCCCAAAUCGGUACGUUCCACUGUCCUUGAAAACCCUAGUUUAUGUAGAUGGUAAAUGAAAUGAAAUCCAGUAGCUUUGGAAGCAAAUAAAGAUGGAAAUUUGUAUGUUGUUUGUUGUUGUAGAGCAAGCGAAAGAUGGAUGGUGUGAUAUCAGCCAAUGACCAGCAGGGCCUGGUCACUUCGUUUUUGGAGAUCGCUGUGGGGCAGACUGCCGAUACCGCCAGACAGUUUUUGCAGGUUACUAUGAAUCUCACAAUUAGUAUCCAAAACGCAUCGCAUUGAUCUCCUUCUUUGUUUUUGUAUUUUUUGUUCUUUGGGUAAAGAAAAGUAGUUGUAUUAGUAGAUUCAGGUGUUCAUUGGAUUGCAAGGUGCUUACUUGAGUCUAGUAGAAUGUAUGGAUAUUGAAAAUUCCAAUUUUUUACAUAAACAGGCCACGGGCUGGCAGCUCGAGGAGGCAAUUCAGCUGUUUUAUGUGGGUAAUGAAGCAGGGUCAAUAGCUGCGGCGCAGCCUCCGACUGAAAAUAUUGAAAAUUUGGCGGAUCAAACUUCUGGGUAUUUCAUAUUGUUCAGUUCUGCUUUUCUUUGUCGGCAUUUUUUUUUUCUUUUUUGACAUUGGGUUUGUAACAGUGCAAAUGAGAAUGUGGUACAUCAUGGUAUAAAUGAGAAUGUUGGACAACUUGGUGAAGAUGAGGUGCGCCCUCCUAUGCCUGUUAUAAGGGACGUUCUUUAUGAUGAUGCGGCGCUCUAUGGGUAUGUUUUAUCACUUCAUCUUUAGCUUUGUCCUUGGACUAGAAAGCUUUGUAUUCUAUUUCGGUAUGUUGUAAAAAAAAUUUCUUUCUUUUUUCCCCUGUUUCUUCUUAAGUAUAUGAUGUACUUAACUUUAUCAUGGAAAUGUUUUCUUCUUCCUUCGAGUUAAGAUCUUCUGAAUUGGGUUUUCCGUUUACAUAACAAUGGCAUUAGUAUUGUAGGAUAGUACUAGGUCUGUAGAAUUGCAUUUUGAGAAUUGGGAAAUCACAUGGUAUUUCAUUGUUAUUCCUUUCCUAUAGCGAUUGGCAAGCCUCGUGUAAAAUACUAAUGGAGUUUGAUAAUUGGAAUGUUGUAAAGUUUCAAAAAGUCUCCUUUCUAUUUCUUUGAUAAAAGUAAUAUAGGUGGCGUAAUAUAUCUGUUUUCCUUUGUUAUUAAUAUUCAUUCUUCAUGUCAGAUGGUGGAUUUUUAUUGCACACAAGACUACAUGGUGUGAUUUUUAUUAGUUAGUUGACUUCAUUUUAUAUGCACAGUAUUUACUUUGGUCUUGUGCAAUCUUUAUACUUAAACCCACCCUAACAUGUAGUUGCAAGCCAAUAUGCAUGUCGUUUUUUUCUUUUCACAAGUCAUUUUAUAUGGUGUAUUUGGCCUCUUUACUCAUCGUAUUUUAAUAAAUGGAGGUUUCUUUUAUGCCAAUUUCAUCUAGUUCACCAAGGGCAAGAUUUUCACAACAUGAAUCGGGUUCUGUAAUUGCAUUCCGUAACUUUGAAGAGGAAAUGAAGCAUCCUGGGGUAUGGGAAUCAGGCCAAGGUGCUACAUCCUCUGCAGAAACGGCCCGAGAUAAUCUUGCUUCCUUAUAUCGUCCUCCCUUUAAGCUACUGUUCCAGGGUUCCUUUGAAAAGGUAUGGUAAUUUGUUAUCUUCCAGGCUUCAUAGUUUGUGUAAUGUAGAAUUUGAAGGGUUAUAAUCAGUAUUAUUGAUGUUAUGGGUUGCCAGGAAGGGCUUUGUGGAGGUACCCCUAAUGUUUUGGGCCUUUAUUCUUUGUCGGAGAAAUUACAUAUAUCAGAUCUGAUCAUGAAUCUUGCAGCUGUGACUCUCAUAUAAAACCUUUCUGGUUUGUUAUACUAGAUCAAUCAUAUAGAUUCAAAAUAUAUGAGAUGCGGAAAUCAAAGAAUACUAGUUGAUCAAGGGACAUGUAGAGUGAUACAGUCAUCGUUUAGUUAUUCAUUCUCAUUGAGCAAAUAAAAUUGAAUAUUUUUUUUAUACUAAUGCAGGCAAAAGGCGCUGCUUCUGUCCAGGACAAAUGGCUCCUGGUGAACUUGCAAUCCACUAAAGAGUUCAGCUCUCAUAUGGUAGGCAUUUUCUCUGCGGUCUAUUUCAUUUUUGGUUUCUUUGUUUUUCUACAUGUAGACUUAUGUGUGUAUAAAUACAUUUCUUUGUGAAGCUUAAUCGAGACACCUGGGCCAAUGAAGCUGUCUCUCAAACCAUUAUUACUAAUUUUGUAUUCUGGCAGGUCAGUACCAUGUUUAAGUGACAAUUUAUUAUGUAUUUAUGCUUGCUAUUUCUUUCUAUUAAAUUAAAUCAGCUGUGCUAUUUUAUUAGUUAUACAAGUGCAGGCUGUUGAUGGGGUUUAUUUGUUGAUAAAUUCCUUUUACAUGUUAUUGGCUUAUCCUCCCUUACGUACUUUAUUGUUUGGUAUUGUGUGAUGCUUGUGAUAUGCAUGUGCACAUUUGUUCUCUAGAUGUACAUACUUCGAGAUAAAUGAUACGUAAUUGGGUUGGUGUUAUUACAUAUGCAUUAUCAUUUUCCCUUGGUAGGAGUGUAAUAGCCUAUAAAUCUUAUCCAAGGCUGCCAUAGAUGGGUUUUAUUUGUUGAUAAAUUCCUUUUACAUGUUAUUGGCUUAUCCUCCCUUACGUACUUUAUUGUUUGGUAUUGUGUGAAGCUUGAUAUGCAUGUGCACAUUUGCUCACUAGAUAUACAUACUUCGAGAUAAAUAAGACGUAAUUGGGUUGGUGUUAUUACAUAUGCACUAUCAUUUUCCAUUGGUAGGAGUGUAAUAGCAAGUAAAUCUUAUCCAAGGCUGCCAUAGAUGGUUUGACGUUUUGUUAGGAGUAUAGUAUAUGCUAAUCUAUGAACCAAACGUUUGUAAAAGGUUGAGAUUUUUUUAUCCAAGGCUGCCAAGAUUCUUAGAAUCUCUUUUUGGAAUUCAGAAUUGUGAAGAUUAUGUUUAAUUGUGUUAAUCUUUGUGUGGAUUUUGCUUCCUAAUUUGUAUGACAGCAUAUGUGGACAUGAAUCUUUUGGAUCACCUUUAUGCUUAUGAUGUUUUUGUUUGUGCUUCAUCUGUUUGAUGUUGGUCCGCAAAUAUAGACAUAUGAUGAUACAACUGAAGGCAGGAAGGUUUGCACAUACUACAAGUUGGAAUCUAUGCCUGUAGUUCUCAUUAUUGACCCCAUUACUGGGCAAAGAAUGCGUUCAUGGAAUGGAAUGGUUCAGCCAGAAUGUUUGCUAGAGGUAAAUGCCAUGGCGUAGAUUGUAUCUUCACAGUUGAGUAUAAAUUUUUCACUUGUUAGAGAGCUUAAGAAACCUUUUCCUACAAAGAUCAAACUUUUACUUUGAAGUUCAAUUUUGGCAUGAAAACAUCCUUGCCACUGUAGGAUCUAUUACCCUUCUUGGAUAGUGGCCCCAGGGACCAUCAUGUAACUUUGUCCCAUAAACGCCCAAGGGAAAGUUCUCUGCCUCAGCCACAGAAAACUAAAGGUAUGCAUGGGCUUCCAAAUAUCUUCUGCUAUAUUACACUGCAGAGAACCAUUUUGCUUCUUGAAUCUGUUGAAUUUUUAUUAUUUUUCAAAUUAUUGCUUGGGUAAACCUCUCUGUUGAUCCUAAUCCUUGUUCCAACUCAAUUAAGUGGGGGUGGGGUAGUAGAAAAAAAGGAAAAAGAAAUCCUUUGUAAAGUGUAAUAUAUAGUGAAAUGACAGUCAUAUGCUUAACUGAAUGAAUGAUUGAAGUUUGCUUUAGAAGAAAAAUCUGCAGCUGAAAUUAUAGUUGUUUUCCCAUUUUACAUAUUGUUUCAUUAUUUGAUGCUCCUUUUGAUUUUAUAAAUGGGGUUGCUGUUUAUGUUGUAGUCUGAGUGAUUGUUUCAGCUUGAUUGUAGUGAUAUCAGAGAGAAGUUUUUGUCUGAAUAGUUUUGCACGGACAUUGACAUAUCUCUUGGUUAAUGUGCUUGGUUUCUUGUGUUCUCAUGAAAAUAUGCUUGGUUUCUUCUGUAUAAAAUACCUGUGUCAGUAUCUGCGAUGGUGCUUUGUGUAUUCGUGUUGUAUGUGGUUUACUAAGAGGCUCAGAUGGGUGAUUGCUUGUACAUACCGCCAAAUUCGUAAAGCCGUGACAUAUCCAAAUUUGUAUCCAUCUUUGCUAGCAGCUGAAUGAUGCAUUCUAGAUCCGCUCUUGAAAACUUGUUUUGGAUUUGUUCUUUCCUUUCCUUUUUCUUCUUCUGUUAUUUUUUUCGUAGAUGAGCUGCAUGUAUGACUUAAGGUGCUUCAGUUGCAGACGAAACUAAUGAAGAAGAUGAGGAAGUGCAGCGCGCAUUGGCAGCUUCGAUGGAAGGCAUGCAGGAGACAGGUGGGAUAUCCAAAGAUAAAGAUGAAAUCAUUACCGACAAGGAGGAAGAAAAAUGCUUAGCCAAGACGCCUGCAUAUCCACCUUUGCCUGAAGAACCCAAGGGUGAUAAGAACCUCCUUUGCAGGGUUGGAGUCCGUCUUCCAGAUGGGCGCAGGGUGCAGCGGAAUUUCCUUCGCACUGAUCCAAUUCAGGUAAGAAGUGAAAGAAGUUUUUUUGUAUUAGUAUAUAAUGGAAAAGAUUUGAAUUGUGAUUAGCGUUUAACACUUAAUUGCAUCUAAACUGAGAGAGUUUGACUCUGUAAAUCAUUUUUAUCGAAGUUAAAUGCUUGCAGAGAGUUCAUGCAUAUGUUCGACAAAAUUUCCACAGUAGACUUAUAUGGCAUGCGCUACCAUCGAAAUGAUGAGCACAGGCUGUUAUUAGCAGGAUCUAUUCUACUCCCAUCCUAGGGUUGUCACUAAAUUUGAAUUGUUUGUUUUGCAGAUGUUGUGGUCAUUCUGCUAUUCCCAACUCAAGGAAGCUGAGACAAGGCGGUUUCGGUUGACUCAGGCAAUCCCAGGAGCUUCAAAGAGUCUGGAUUAUGAUUGUCAAUCUACUUUUGAAGAGUCGGGGCUUGCCAACUCUAUGGUCUCAGUUACUUGGGAAUGAAUGAAUGAAUGAAAUCAUGUUGGGGAAUUUUUGGUUGUCACUUUGUUUAUACAUGUUUCCAGGACUUAGGAGGUGUCGUUUAAUGGAUGGGGAAUUGGGGAUGCAGAUUUUGUAGUGUACUAUUUAUUAUGUAUAUACUCAUGCAAAGGGCGCAUGAAUCUACACUUGUUUAUGCUAAAUUUGGCGCUCUCUCUUUCUCUCUCUCUCUCUCAUAUUCUCAUUCUCAUUAGAGUUUUGUAUGGAUGGGCCACGUGGCACGAAAUCUCACUUUAGAAUUUUGGGUUUUAUCCACCUUUAACAAUUUGAUUCAUUCUAUGAUUUGGAUCGUAUCUCAACAUCUUUUGAAGAAAGGACGGAAUAGUAGCCCAAGAACUUUAUGCCUCACUACCCCGAGGCCCAAUGGCUCAACAGUGUAUAGCCCAAACCGAGAUGGAAUUUGAUGGGGUGGAUCCUGGAAUCUUGACGAGACAUGGGCCUAACUUUCAGAACAUUUUAACUUUUUACAGAAUUCUCUUCGAUUAAAUGUGGACGAAAGGGAGGAAAACUAGAAAAGUUUCACUUGUCGGCACAUACCGACAAUUUAAAAACAAAGAGAUCAAAAGCUACGACAUUUUCGUAUUCAUGUCAAAGAUAUUUCCUUUUGGUUACUUACUUUAUAUAUUGUAUUAAGGCCACGAUAUCUUUCUUUUCAAAAGCUAGAUUUGGUGGAAACGUUCUUUUCAUGAUCUAUGCAUGUUCAUCUAGAUGUGCUGAGUUAUCCAUUGCUUGAAAAUACUUAAAUAUAGAGUUUAUUUUCAAUAUAUAUAUAUAUAUAUGGAUAAAACAGAAAUUCUCUUAUAUAGACAUUCAAACGUUAUUACUGUGUGGAAAUUGGAAACCAUGUAUUUUCUACUACUCUUCCAUGUUUUCCUUCAUAUUUACAAUGACAUCCGCACAAUAUUCAGAUGAGAAAAUAACUUAUAUAGUAGUUAAACUUAAAACCUCAUUUAAAAUCUAAAAUACACCAAAUAUGUUUGAUUAAUGCUGUCAAUAAUAUAGGAGUGCUCUCCCUCCUUAUAUUUUUUUUUGUAGGACGAGUCCUUUCCAAGCUGUUUUCCAAUAUUUGAAACUAAUUUUGUUCAAUUAAUCUUGUAAAGUUAUCUUUUCAUCAUAAGCCCUGAUUACUUUUAUUAUAUACAUAGGACAUUAAAACCAAAUCUAAAAUAACAAGCUGUACAGCGAUAAUUAAUUUAAAAAAAUUUCUUUUAGGCUUAGCAUAUGCAUAUAUAACUUAUAAGCAUAUACUUGGGAAAAACAACGGUUUCAAAAUCCAGAGGGAGGCAAGCUUACUGAUAUCCAUGAUGAGUAAAGGUAAAAGAGAAAAAUAAGACGUUUGACAGCUCAAUGGAGCUUGGAUUGUCGUCAUAUAAUGUUGGCAGAAAGCACAGAUCACGCAGUGACAAGUCACCGCUGCUGCACUAGUCCCAAUAAUGUAUUAUUAUCGACACAGUCACAGAAAUGUACGUGUGGCUCCUCUUUUUCUUCUUUCUUUCUUUUUAUUAAUUACUUUUUUUUUUUCAUUUCUCGAAUCUUCUUCUCUAUCUAUCUAUAUAAGGGCUUGCAAGCUUAGUAAUCUUUUACAUCGAUAUACAACCUAAGCUAGCUUUGCUACCUCAUCAGAUACAUAUACAUUAGAAAGAUAUGGAGCGCUCCAUGCGUUUAUUUUCAACUGCCUUCGUCUUCUUUCUGCUUCUGGCAGCUGCUGGUAAUAUUUAGGCUUCUUCUCUUGUCUUUCCUCUGGUUAACUUGUAAACUAUAUAUAUAUAUAUAUAUAUACAUAUUCAACUGUUGGGAUUAAUUAAUGUAUGUUUGGAAUGAUUUGCAGGGAUGAUGGGGCCAAUGGUUGCUGAGGCUAGGACCUGUGAGUCUCAGAGUAAUCGGUUCAAGGGAACUUGCGUGAGUACAAGCAACUGUGCAUCUGUUUGCCAAACUGAGGGCUUCCCUGGUGGCCAUUGUCGUGGCUUUCGCCGCAGAUGCUUUUGCACUAAACAUUGUUAAUUAGCGAUGAUCGUGAUACUCCUGCAUGCACAUUUCUAUGUGGGCCUAGGAGGAGACGAUUCUGAAUGAUCCCUUAUAUCAGUGGCCGUACUUGCUACUAAAAUAAAUUAUUAUAUGAUGAGCCAAUUAACAGUUGGGUUAUUAUUAUUAUAUCCUUGUUAUUGUUCUUGUUCUUGUUUGUUAAUUAAGUACCACCCUCGUGAGUUGCCUUGCCUUGUUUUGUCAACGAUGUCUUUGUAACACCCCUACGUUUUGUAAUAAUGCAAUAUUAUUGAUUUCCUCAACCAUACAUGUAGUCAUUUUGCAAGGGUUAUCAUCUUUUCUAAUUGAUCAAACAUGCAGCGGGGGAGCAAUUUAAAUUCCAAUCUUUCAAAUUUAAGGUGGCCAGAGCCAAUCUCACCACAAAUAUA